This 59458-nucleotide long non-coding RNA is filed under the name Malus domestica (apple). Its description in RNAcentral is "long non-coding RNA (MDOM_LNC004173)". Lineage: Eukaryota; Viridiplantae; Streptophyta; Magnoliopsida; Rosales; Rosaceae. The record is from RNAcentral.
UUUGUAAGUUUUCUUUUAAACCAAAUAGAGGAUCAUGCGAGGGAUUGGCACUUUAGUGCCCAUUAUGGGCACAAAAGUGCUACAUGCUAGUAAAUUAAUUUUACCUUGGUAAAGUUGUCAACCAACAAAUUUUUUUGAACUGGUAAUGGAUGGACAUGCGUGACACAGAAUUGAGCGCAAUAACAUUCUAGGAUUCAUAUAGCCGAUCUCACUUAGUGGGAAAAGACUUUGUUGUUGUUGUUAUAGUAAUAGAUGGAUAUGUGUGAAAUUUUCAGGCAAAUAUAAUCAGAAUGCCAUUGCAAUUGCUAAACUUCCAACAAUACCAGCAAAGGUUGUCUGCCCAAAUCGGACCUCAACGGACCAAACAGCUCGUAAAUCAAGCACUCGUCCUCCUCACCGUCGGUGGCAACGAUUUUGUCAACAACUACUACCUAGUGCCUUUCUCCGCAAGAUCUCGCCAGUUUUCUCUGCCAGACUAUGUCAAAUACCUCAUUUCCGAGCUCCGAAAAAUUCUCUUGGUAACCAACUCCUAAUUUGGCUAAGUUCGAAAGUAACUUGCUAGCUAAGCGACAAUGUGACAUGUUAAUGACUUUUAAUUAUGUGUUGUUUGAUCAUUCUUUGUGUCAUAACUUACAGAAAAUGUAUGAUCUUGGAGCACGAAGGGUUUUGGUGACGGGGACAGGACCGAUGGGCUGCGUGCCUGCUGAAUUGGCCAUGAGAAGCAGGAAUGGAGAAUGCGCAGCGGAGCUGCAACGAGCGUCGGCUCUGUACAACCCGCAACUCAUUCAGAUGCUGAGAUCAGUCAACAGCCAACUCGGUUCUGAUGUCUUUGUUGCUGCCAACGUACAGGAGACCCGCAAUGACUUCAUCAGGAACCCUCAAGCAUUUGGUAAAUUAAUUGUACAAUAUACGUUUAUAUCAAUUUUAUGUUCAUGACCUAAUAUUAUGAUCAUGGAUUAAGUUUUGUUCGAAAGAUUAACCUAUUCAAGAAUCUCCUAAUCUACGCUUAUUUUCAACCCCGCCAAUCAUUUUGUCUCUUACUAUGCAUUUUUUGUGUGUUGGUGACAUAAAGUUGCUUGUUUAAUUUUUGUUAUCCAGGAUUUACUACAUCAAAGGUUGCAUGCUGUGGGCAAGGACCUUACAAUGGCUUGGGGCUGUGCACAAGAGCUUCCAAUUUGUGCCCGAACCGCGACCUAUAUGCUUUCUGGGAUGCAUUUCAUCCGUCCGAAAAGGGGAACAGACUGAUCGUUGAGAAUAUUUUGACAGGGGAUGAAAAGUACAUGUACCCCAUGAAUCUCAGCACCAUCUUGGCUUUGGAUUCCAGGACCUAAGACAUAUUUCCAUGUGAAACUAAUAUUUAUGUGUACUACUUCCAUUUGAAACUAUAUUUAUGUGUACUAGAUUAUGAUCAGUGUUGAAUGCCAGUACCAUCUACCAUUUAUGUUUGUGCGUCGCUGGGAUGUCUAGUGAUUAAAAACUGAUUGGCUUCCCAAUUGCUUUCUAGUUUUUGUAAUGGUUUGAUUUGCAAGAUUUCCCCCAAGGUGAUAAUGUCAAACUUACCAACUUAAGUACAAUCAUCUUUAAUUUACAUUCAGUCUUUUUGUUCACUGCUUGUGGAAUUUAUUAUCACUUACUCAAUCAGGUUUGUCCAACCUCUUCCUAAAAUAUUCAAAAGUUCGUUUCUGUAACCAAAAGGAGUGCCCAUUUGAUCUACGUGUUGAUCAUCGCUGGGUUCUCUCUUUCUAACUGUGUUGUUUGCUUUAGCUUUCACUUUUCUGCUUCGCAAACUCUCUCACAAAUCUUUAUUGUGUUGCUCUCGAUCUCGCCCUCCCUCGCUCUCCAACCUUGCAUUCCUUCUCUCACAAUAUACCCACAGAGGAAACCUUGGUUUUUGUUGUUCUAGGAAUUUUGUUUGGGGCCUCCAUAUUUAGAGGAGGAGCCGAUCCUUGGAAACCCAGAUAUCUCAACGUUUUGUCAAAGCCCUCAAAUUUGGUUUCGACCGUUUUAUCUCGAUCUCACAAUCGUCGGCGCAAGACCUUCCGCUUUCCUCUCUUGCAUACCUCGGCUUUCAUCGUUUUUCGCCCCGAGCACUCCCCCCCGCAAACAUCUCUGCUGCGAUUAACUCACGCGCCCCGACCUGAUAUUUUCCAAAUACCAGUAUAGACACGUACUGACCGACAUUCAAGGGUGACGAAAGUUAUUAAUUGAUUACAAGAGUAAUGAUUAGGAGAAAAUAUUCAUGAAUAAAUAUUAGAAUUUAAGAGUAAUAAAUAAAAUUUAAGGAAGUGUCUAGAGUGCACAAAAUACAAACUAAUUCAAGAUUUACAAAAAGGAAAAAUCAUUACAAGAUAUCAUACAAGUGGGUGAUAGAUUGCUACUGGUAAGGGAAUGCCUCGUACAUCGAGUCGUAGUCCUCGUUUUUAAGACCUGAAUGGGGAUGCAAAACAAAGGUGAGUGGACCAAAUUCAUAUAUACAAUAAUAAUAAAAUAGUUAUCAAUGUACUAACCCAACAAUUUAUAUAAUGAAAACUACUAGCAUAAUAAGUGAUGGAUUUAAUAAAAAUCCUAGCAUGCCAAAAUAUCUCAAAAGUCAUAUCACGGAAUAACGUCGCAGAAAUCAAAACAGUAAACAUCUAAUAGAUCGUCUCGUAAGCGCGGUGUGUUAUUAGAAAUAUCACUGAAUAAAUAUAACUCCCGGCCCAAUGCCUGCUCUGUGGUUUCUGCGCCCGUAGCCAGAGAUUACCAACUCCCGGCCCAAUGUCUGCUCCGUGUCCCUCAGCCCGUAGCUAGGGAUUAUUUCUCUCGGCCUAUCUGCCAACACCAGAUCCUCGUCCCAGGCAACAUAGUGUCCUCUAGGUAUGCACAAAUAGUUACGUCUCUCAUAAAUAACCACUUCAUAGUAUAAAAUCAUCAAUCGUCUAUAAUAUAAAGAGGGGUUUCUAAAACAUGUCCUAGCAUCCUAUCGUAAUCCAUCAGAUAGUCUACCAGUUCAUGAUUUUUAUAAAAAAUACGAUAUAUUAAAAUAUAGCUCAAUAUAGGCCAACAAACUAAUUCCUCACCAAAAAUACGAGACGAAAAUCAAUAUCUUCAGUAAAUAGGCUUAACAUAAAUUAAAUCAUAAACUUGUAAGCAUGCUAAUCAUUUAUGCAAUUAAAUUAUAAAAUCAUGUAAUUUUAGAAGUAGUCCACUCACAAAUAUUCCUUAGUAGAAGAGUUGUGCAGAUAAAGAUUAGGAAUUUCCUCACUAGCAACUUUACCUAAGCACAAAAAUGUAAUAAAUACAUAAAAGGAUUUUCUAAAAGAUUUGGGCUUGAACUAAAUAAAUUAAGGGAUUUGGGUUGAAUGGGUUAGGGUCAAAUGGGUUUUACAAUCCUAAGGUUUUUGGGUUAAAAAGGCUUUAGGGUGAAGAAAUGUGGUUUGGCCUUAAGCCCAAACACACACACACGCACACGCACACACACGCACACGCACACACACGCACACACACACACACACACACACACCACACAACAUAAGAGCACACACAUGCACUGCAUGCACAUGCAUGCAUGACAUGCAUAUACACGCACACGCACACGCACACACCCCCCCCCCCCGCACACGCACACACCCCCCCCCCCCCCCCACACACACACACACACUCACACAGGCUGCACAACACACACACCACACAAAGGCCGGCCCUAAGGCCUCAUAAAAGGGCUGGGCUUUAGGCCUUAAUUAAAAGGAAAUGGCCCAAGGCCCUUUGGGUCUUUAAAAACAAAAUAAAUAAAAACAAAAGGGAUACGGGCUGGGGUAUUGGGUUGGCCCAAAACGGCUAAGACCCGUGGGUGCUAAUCGGCCUGAAAGGCCUGGGUUUGCUGAAGAAGAAGGCUGGAGCUGCUACAGCUCCGGUCACCUGAAAACGAGGGUUCUAGACCCUGAUCUAAGUACGAACAUGAAGAGCAAGAUGAGGGGAAGAGAUUGCUACCCUCAAAUAACCGUGACACGGCCGGAAGUGACCGGAAAUUCCCUCGAAGCUCACGGGCUCACAGGAAAAAUGGGUGUGUUUCCCCCGCGCCGUUCCCGUCUUCAAAACCUUGGAAAAACAAUAUAAAUCUUAUCACACAACUUCCAACAACAUCAAUGGCAGAUUAAAAAGGGAUCCUACCUUACCUAACCGAAGAAAUAAGGAAAAUCCUGCCGGAGAGUUUCUCUGGGUUCUUUCGUGUCCCGCAACCAUGGAUUUAAAUAUCGAAAAUAUCGCCGAUAUUUUUGUUUUUUUUUACUUACCGAUAUUUUAAGGAGUAUCUAAUGAGUUUUCGUCAAAAUAUCGCGCUAUUUUUGUUUUUUUUUACUUACCGAUAUUUUAAGGAGUAUCUAAUGAGUUUUCGUCAAAAUAUCGCGAUAUUUUCGAUAAUAUCGCGAUAUUUCUUAUAAUAUCGCGAUAUUAGCUAAAAUAUCGCGAUAUUAGUUCAAAAAUUCCUUAAAAUUUGGAAAAGACUCGGUUUUGAGCAUAAAGGGGUUCGAACCCCUCCCCCUUAACUUCUUAAGGCCUUAACCACUGUACCACUUAUGUUGUUAUGAUAAUAAGCUACAAUAUUUAUAUAUAUGGUUUAUUUUUAAAGAAACAAAUUUGCACAUAUUCCAAAUUUUUUGUGGUAUUAUAUUUUAAAUUGUGUCAAUUAAUUACUUAGUCAAUGGCAAGUGGUUUUUAAUUUUUCUAUUUUUUAUUUGGUCAAGGGCUGGAAAAAAUUCCGGAAAAUCCCAAACCAAACCGAAAAAGUCCCAAACCCAAACCGAAAAAUCCCAAACCAAAACCAUCCUGAAGUUCGGGAAUCCCAUCCCGAAAAAUACCGAAAUUUUCGAUAUGGGAUUGGUUUCCAAAUCCCAUUUGUUUGGUAAUCCCGAAAAAUACCGAAGUAUUCGGUUUCCUAUUGACUUUUGGGUUUUGGUUCUUGAAAACCAUUGCCAUAGUUGGUAACUACUCUUCAAAAUACACUCACUCUACACAUAGAGAUGAUGAAGAUAUUGAAAAUUUUGAACCUCAUAGGAACUCUAUGUGGUACUAAGCCACUCAUGCAUCUUACCAUGCAAUGUAUAAAGUGUAAAAUAUUGUACUAAUUCAUUAUAUAUAAAUGAUUAUGGUGUGUUUAGACUUCUUUCAUUAAUUUCUACAUAUUUUCUAUAGUCACAAUGUUUGUCAGCUCGCUAUAUAAUCAACUUGAUAAUGUUAAAUUCAUCAUGCAAUGCAUUUCCUUCCAAUUUUUUGUGAUAAACUAAUAGAUAAUUGACUAAAUAAACAUCCUGCAAAGUUUCAAUAAAAAUUUCCAAGUUUUUCUUACAAUUUCCGUGGUUUCCAUGUAAUUUUUAUCGAUAUCGAUAUUAUCCCGAUAUUUCCAUCGAUAUUUCCGUGUUUUCGGACUACCGAUAUUUCCGAUAUUACCGAUAUUUUCUUCCUUGCCCGCAACAACGAAAGAGAGGGAGAGAUGAUAGGGUAAUGAUGGUGAAGAUGGUGCAGGUACGGGGUUGGUAAUGGGUGUGGCUCAUGGGAGAAUGAGAGGGAGAGAGAUAAGAGAGAGAGCUACGGGAGAGCUAAGAGACUGAAAGAGAAAGGUCUCGGGUUUGGGGGGACAGAAAGAGAGAAAAUGGAAGUGAGUUAGAUUGCUGCCACGUGGUAGUUUGGGGUAAAAAUAACAUAUAACACCAAUAAUUGGGGGUGGUUGUAACAAUCUACCCCCUUAAUUUCGUCCUCAAAAUUGCGAAGUUACACAAAAAGAAAGGGAUAUUGAUUCCGCAUUGAUUCCUCUAUUUCCCAAAUAGCUUCUUCGACUGCAUGGUUCCUCCACAGUACUUUUACCAAAGGAAUAACUUUGUUCUGCAUCACUUUAUUCUGUCUGUCAAGAAUAGCCACUGGUUCUUCUACAUAGCUAGCAUCCAGAUUUACUUCCAACGACUCUAUCUGGAUGAUAUGAGAGGGAUAUGGUACAUAUUUCCGAAGCAUGGAAACAUGGAAAACGUUAUGGAUCUGUGACAACUCCGUUGAUAGCUCAAACCUAUAAGCAACUGCACCAAUUCUCUCAAUAAUCUGAUAGGGACCUACGAAUCGAGGACUCAGCUUUCCUCCCUUACCAAAAUGAACAACACCAUUCCAGGGAGACAACUUCAAGAAUACAAAGUCGCCCACUAUGUACUCACGAUCAUUGGAGUGUUUGUCUGCAAUGUUUUUUCUGUCGGUCUUGUGUUGCUUUCAAAUUCACCUUAAUCAGUUGGGUAUUACCAUUGGUAGGACCAGAUAUUGUGGAUACCACUAACGGUAAUAUCCAACUGAUUAAGGCGAAUUUGAAAGCAGCACAAGACCGACAGAAAAGCAUUGCAGACAAACACUCCAAGGAUCGUGAGUAUACAGUGGGCGACUUUGUAUUCUUGAGCUGUCUCCCUGGAAGGGUGUUGUUCGUUUUGGUAAGCAAGGAAAGCUGAGUCCUCGAUUCGUAAGUCCCUAUCAGAUUAUUGAGAGAAUUUGUGCAGUUGCUUAUAGGUUAUAGCUACCACCGGAGUUGUCACAGAUCCAUAACGUUUUCCAUGUUUCCAUGCUUCAGAAAUAUGUACCGAAUCCCUCUCAUAUCAUCUAGAUAGAGCCAUUGGAAGUAAAUCCGGAUGCUAGCUAUGUAGAAUAACCAGUGGCUAUCCUUGACAGACAGAAUAAAAUGAUGCGGAACAAAGUUAUUCCAUUAGUAAAAGUACUGUGGAGGAACCAUGCAGUCGAAGAAGCUACUUGGGAAACAGAGGAAUCAAUGCGGAAUCAAUAUCCCUUUCUUUUUGUGUAACUUCGCAAUUUCGAGGACGAAAUUAUUUUAAGGGGGUAUAUUGUUACAACCACCCCUAAUUAUUGGUGUUAUAUGUUAUUUUUACCCCAAACUGCCACUUGGCAGCAAUCUAACUCACUUCAUUUUUCUCUUUUUUUGUCCCCCUCAAACCCGAGACCUCACUCUUUCAGUCUCUCAGCUCUCCCGUAGCUCUCUCUUUCUCAUCUCUCUCAUUCUCAUUCUCCCAUGAGCCACACCCAUUACCAACCCCGUACCUGCACCACCUUCACCAUCAUUACCCUAUCAUCUCUCCCUCUCUUUCAUUGCUGCGGAACACAGAAGAACCCAGAGAAACUCUGCAGUGAGAUUUUCCCUAUUUCUCUGGUUAGGUAAGGUAGAAUCCCUUUUUAAUUCGCCAUUGAUGUUGUUGGAAGUUGUGUGAUGAGAUUUAUAUUGUUUUUCUAAGGUUUUGAAGAUGAGAACGGUGCCGGGGAAGCACACCCAUUUUUCCGGCGAACCCAUGAGCUUCGAGGUAAUUUCAGGUCACCUCCGGCCGUGUCACAGUUAUUUAAGGGUAGCAAUCUCUUCCCCUCAUCUUGCUCUUCAUGUUCGUACUUAGAUCGGGGUCUAGAACCCUCGUUUUUAGGUGACCGGAGCUGUAGCAGCUCCGACCUUCUUCUUCGACAAACCCAGGCCUUUCAGGCCGAUUAGCACCCACGGGCCUUAGCCGUUUUGGGCCAACCCAGUACCCCAGCUCGCAUCCCUUUUGUUUUUAAAGACCCAAAGGGCCUUAGGCCAUUUCCUUUUAAUUAGGGCUUAAAGCCUAGCCCUUUUGUGAGGCCUUAGGGCCGGCCUUUGUGUGGUGUGUGUGUUGUGCAGCCCGUGUGUGUGUGUGUGUGUGUGUGUAUUUAGUGUGCGUGUGUGUGCGUGUAUAUUUAGUGUGUGUGUGUGUGUGUGUAUGCAUGUCAUGCAUGCAUGUGCAUGCCGUGCAUGUGUGUGUGCUUGUGUUGUGUGGUGUGUGUGUGUGUGUGUGUGUCUGUGUGUUUGGGCUUAAGCCCAAACCACAUUUCUUCACCCUAAAGCCUUUUUAACCCAAAAGCCUUAGGAUUCUAAAACCCAUUAGACCCUAACCCAUUCAACCCAAAUCCCUUAAUUUAUUUAGUUCAAGCCCAAAUCUUUUAGAAAAUCCUUUUAUUUAUUUAUUACAUUUUUGUGCUUAGGUGAAGUUGCUAGUGAGGAAAUUCCUAAUCCUUAUCCGCACAACUCUUCUGGUAAAGAAUAUUUGUGAGUGGACUACUUCUAAAAUUACAUGAUUUUAUAAUUUAAUUGCAUAAAUGAUUAGCAUGUCUACGAGUUUAUGAUUUGAUUUAUGUUAAGCCUGUUUACUGAAGAUAUUGAUUUUCGUCUCGUGUUUUUGGUGAGGAAUUAAUUUGUUGGCCUAUAUUGAGCUAUAUUUUAAUAUAUCGUAUUUUCUAUAAAAAUCAUGAACUGGUAGACUAUCCGAUGGAUUACGAUAGGAUGCUAGGAUAUGUUUUAGAAACCCCUCUUUAUAGUAUAGACGAUGGAUGACUUUAUACUAUGAAGUGGUUAUUUAUGAGAGACGUAACUAUUUGUGCGUACCUAGAGGACACUAUGCAUCCUGGGGCGAGGAUCUGGUGUUGGCAGAUAGGCCUGGAGAAAUAAUCCCUAGCUACGGGCUGAGGGAAACGGAGCAGCCAUUGGGCCGGAAGUUGGUAAUCUCUGGCUACGAGCGUAGAGACCACGGAGCAAGCAUUGGGCCGGCAGUUAUAUUUAUUCAGUGAUAUUUCUAGCAGUACACCGCCCUUACGAGACGAUCUAUUAGACAUUUACUGUUUUGAUUUCUACGACAUUAUUCCGCAAUAUGACUUUUGAGAUAUUUUGGGAUGCUAGGAUUUUUAUUAAAUCCAUCACGUAUUAUGCUAGUAGUUUUCAUUAUAUAAACUGUGGGGGUUAGUACAUUGAUAACUGUUUUAUUAUUAUUGUAUUUAUGAAUUUGGUCCACUCACCUUUGUUUUACGCUCCCAUUCAGGUCUUAAAAACGAGGACUACGACUCAACGUAUGAGGCAUUCCCCUACCAGUAGCAAUUUAUCACCCACUUGUGUGAUAUCUUGUAAUGAUCUUUCCUUUUUGUAAAUCUUGAAUUAGUUUGUGUUCUUUGCACUAUAGACACUUAUUUAAACUUUGUUUAUUACUCUUAAAUUCUAAUGUUUAUUCAUGAAUAUUUUCUCCUAAUCAUUACUCUUGUAAUCAAUUAAUGGCUUUCGUCACCAUUGGGUGUCGGCCAACACGUGUCUAUUCUGGUAUUCGGGGAAUAUCAGGGUCGGGACGUGUCAGAUUGGUAUCAGAGCAUGGUUAGGGUUUCUUUCCAUCAAUUUGGUAAAUUUCUAUUUUUCUAAAUCUCGUUGUCUGUUUCAGAAUCAUGGCUAAUCCUGGUGGGAAUGUGCCUCGAUGAACUCGUACUUCUAUAAUGGGGGGAAUUCAGCAGUUUACUAAUGCUUUAAUGAAUGCUCUUCCGGGUCAUAGACCGAAUCGGACGUAUUUAGAAAUUGCUAGAAGUCAUGGAGUUACUGAAUUGAAAUCUGUGGGGAAUGGUGAGGAGACUAAGCAGUGGUUGGAGAAAAUGGAGGAUACUUUAGAGGCUGUGAAGUGUCUUCUAAUUGAGUGGGCAAACACUGUAGGUUUCUUUAUUCAGGGUGAUGCUAGGAGUUGGUGGAAAUUAACGAAGGAAUCUCGUCCACCUGAUUCUUGGAUGACUUGGGCUGCCUUCAGGAAACGUUUUAUUUCUUACUUUCUAAGCCCCAACAACAGAUUGAGGAAGAGGCAGAAGUAUUUAAAGUUCCGACAAGGUGACCUCAGCAUCACAAAAUUUGACAGUACUUUCAGGCGCUUGGCUAGGCAUCAUGAUGGGACUUAUGAUAAUUCGCAGACACAGAUGGAUCAGGCGAUAAUUGCACUGAACCAGGAGUACCGUACAUUGGUAGCUGCUUAGAGACCCAAAACUUAUGAGGAUGUAAUCGAGAUAAGUCUGAGUAUAGAACAGUCUAAGUGGGAUACAGAGAUACAAGAUCAACCUCAGAUCUGGAUCCAGCCCUAAAGACAGAAUAGACAGCGGAAUCAAAAUCAGAGGAAUCGGAAUUUCCGGUCGUGUAGUGCCAGAGAAUCAGUGGGCCCCUCCAGUUCUGUAGGUCCCAGACAUUUUUUUUUCUUUAAACGAUCAGGUUGGGCUCAGGGUCUUCUGGUGAAGGCUGAGGCAACGAAUCGGCGAGACGAUCUUUCAGUCAUUUCACUCCGGGUUAUUCAGUCUGUAAUCAAUGUGGGUUACGUCAUCGAGGGAGUUGUGGGAUAACUGCUGUAGUUUGUCACAUGUGCGGUGGUACCGGGCAUUUUGUUCAUGAUUGUCCUUCAGCACCACCUGGUAAUUUUACCUUUGGCUCAAACUACGGUGGUGGAGCGGGUCCGGGAUGUGGUGGAACCCGGGUCGGGAUGUGACAUUAACACUUUGAAACAAGAAAUUAAAUCGAUCUCCAAAAAUCCAACCCCCACAUUGGAUCAGGAUCUAUCACCAUCUCGUGGUGCCUUGCUUAGAUCGGCUCUGCACUCAUCAUCGAGACUCUGCCUUCACAGAGGACUCCCGCAUAUCCCACCACCAAUAAAGGUAAAGCACGGCCACCUCUCCCUUUCUUCGUUUUCAUGGCCGAAUGUCAAAUCAAGUGACUCUGACUCAUGCAUGUGUGUAUUCUGUAAAGGGGUUUCUCAAUCUGUUGUCUGUACUGAAGAAAAGGAGAAUGGGGCUCUCGAAAAUUUCAUAUCCGAGAAAAGACAAAGGUAUAGAUUUUGUUUAGUUUCUUUGUAUCUUUGAAUUCAUUGGAUUUGAUUCUUAUUGUUAUUCCAUUUUGUAGUUCUUAUCAAGUACAUACAUAUAUUAAAAAGGUAUUGAAUUGGUACCUCUUGAUCAUCGAGUAUAAUAUUUGUAGGUGCAAAAUCAUUUUGGGUCUGCAUGCAACCAAGCUUCUCUGUUGCAAACCAACAGAUUGAGAGAAUAUUAUGACCAAUUUCAAAAUUUCAGAGGUUUGUUUUGGUUUUUUAUCAUAUUGGACUUGAAUUUGCUUUAUUGUUGUUUGAUUAUAUUGAAAUCAGACUUUGGGUUGAGACUUUUAUUUGGAUUUGAUUAUAAUUUUCUAUACUAAUUAGCAUCUGGGUUGUGAAAUUUCUUAUUCUUCCUUUUUGGUGUUUAUCUCCUCUGUCAUCAUCAGUUUUGGUGCUUAUGUUGGGCUUUCAUUUUUAAAUUUUUUUAACAAGACUUUAAGGACAUCUCAAGGUGCAGCGGUAGAAUCAAACUCUCGAGGUUUAGAUUUUUUUUCCCUUCUUUUGUUUUGGAAUAAUUUUUCGGGUUUCUUCUCGCUUUUAUUAUGAAAAUAAGAGAUUGAUAAGAUGCAUAGGAGGCUUCCAUCUUUCUAUCUUUCAACUAUUUGACAAUAAACUAUUGUGGGCUAUGCGUCAAAUUCUUGUGAAUUAUGAAAUUGUUUGUCACACUCUAUUUUUAUAAGGAUUUUUUUAUUGGUCGUGUGAACCUUUUUGUGCAACCCCUUUCAUAUUACAAUUGCUAAUUUAGCUUUUUCAAUUUUGCAGUUGUGUUUGGUUACUCCAUCAAAACUCCUACUCAAACUGUUUUGUUCUCAAAACAAUGUCAUAAAAUAACAAUAGUGAACCACUAACAGAACUUCAACUCAAAUUGUUCUUGGGUUGCUGAUAAAAAGGUUUGAAAAGAAAAUAAAAUAACAGAACUUAAAUCUUAGCUUUUAAUUGGCUAUAAUGGAGAGAGUUAUCCUGUAAUUUUGCUUAAGCAUAAUUUAAUUGACAGACUGAUUUGGGUUGUUCUAUAAUUCUUUAGUAAUAGGAUCCACUAAAAUCAUGUUAUUCAAAUUUGUACCUUUUUUUUUCCAGUCUUCUCAGCAACCAAAUGGAGGGUUAUGUAUUUUGGAAAUAUUUAUAUGCAUUGAAUUAGGUAAAAUUUUGGUUUUUUGUUCAAUUUGAAAUCCAAAAUAAUAUAGAAGAUAAGAAUAAUUUUUGUUUUAGAUUUCUUCAGAACUGCUGGAGUUUGGAUUUGCAUAUGUUCAGGAUAUUUAUUUGUUUGAUCUUAUGGAUAUUUAGGUAUGAAUCGGCAGAAGAUUGUGCAGACAAUGAUGAAGCAAAGCAGGUUAAUAAGUGACAUUUUCUUUGUUCUUUAUUGUGCUAUAGAUUGGAAUUUAUCAUUGUACAUUAUUUUUGAAAAUUUUUUAUGUGCAAUUUUAUUGUUGGAUUUUCUGCUGUGUAUGAGAAUCAUUUGAAUGCUGAGAACCUAUUAUAUUCGCAACGUGAUAUAAGAGGUCAACACCUUCAUCAGUAUGUAAGUUUCUCUAAUAAAUACUUUGGACAAAUGCUUUAUGAAUUUGAGUUUUUAUCUUUUGAUUAUUUUUUGCAGAGGUGGUAUUAAUUUUCCUUUUACUAGAAAUUUAGAGGCUUAAGGUACAAUGUUAUCAAACUCAAUUUUUCUAAUUUUUUGAUUCUGGGGUACUGCAAAGAGUGCUAAUAUACUGUUUUUUCUAGGAUUUUUGGUCUUUGAAAUGGGUAUGUUAUGUUUUUAACGUUUCGGUUCUCAUAUGUUCCACUAUUUUAUCUGUUGUUUGCCUGCUUCUGCGUUGCUUCUUAAUUUUCAUUUUUCAACGUUGGGUGAUGGAAAUUUGUAAAAAUAGUUGUACUUUCUGAAAAAGUUGGGGGUUUUAGGGGUUUUAGUUAUAUUUCCUCUGUAAUCCCAAUUGUAAGACUUAAAAAAUAAUUGCAAUGAUGGUUUUUUUUUAUUCAAUUUCUCUUGAAUGUUUUUUCUUGAAUUUAAAAGCAUCUUUCCAGAUUGGUUACAAUGAUUAUGUUCUCUCUAAUUAGUUCUUUUAUAUUCUCUUCAACCUUUUUGUCUAAUUUUAUUUUUCAUUUUUUGUGUGGCUUUCUGUAGAAAUUAGCAUGAGAUUUUCAGAUGACAUGGAUGAUGAGUAUGAGAAACUCAUCUGGGGAAUGAACCCACCAAGGUACAUGCAAAAAUCAUUCCUUUGGGUUCAUAUAGAAGUAUGAAUUUUCUUUUAGCAUAUAACAUUGACGCAAUAAUUUAUCUCAUGGAAUGUAAGAUAUCUUAUGAACUUUACCUACCUAGCAAACAACGGCUGAUGUCACUUUCGAGAAGCUGAGAUCAGCUUACGGCAUGUCACAACAGUCCCACAAGCAGACGCCCAAACUGUAUACAUCACAUAAGGCAAGUUUCAAUCUUUUUAGCUUCCAAUUAAUAUUUCAUGCUAAAAUUUGAUUGAAUUUAGUUUGGGUGUUUGGUUUCAGAUUUCUCGAGUCGAAUUGCAACCUGGGUAUGAGGAAAAAAAAAAAAACAAAGGAUUUGAUCUUUGGUUACAAGGUGACUUCACCUCUCUCUUUCUGAAACUCAAUUUUGAAGUUGUUGUCCAUAUUUAUUUUUUCACUAUGGCAUAGGUCCUCUAAAUAUCAGCUUUUUAUUUUGUCUUAUGGUUUUAUCAUCGUAUAUCAUGGUUGACUGUCUUUGUUUUCUUAUGCAGUUGCAUGGAGAGCUAUGCAAGGUACUCUCUGCAAUUUAUUGCAAAAUAAUGUCAAUGUCAAUUUUUCCUUCUCUGGAAGUAGCUCGACGUAGGACAAGUUUGGUAUCCAAACUGUUCGUUGCAUGUAGCACUUGAAACGACUUAAGAAUGUUCUUCAGCAUUGCUCAGAAUGUAGUGAACAUUAUUUGGUAGGUAUUCCCUCAAUAUUGCAUUUGUAAUUUAUGCAGUAUUGCUACACCAACUUUUCAAGUAAAAAAUUAUUUCCCCCCUCUAUUCUGGUGUUUAAAUUUGUUUCAUUCAUGAUGAGUUUGUGUAUAAAUUGUACUGUGUGUAUAAUAGGCAAAAUAUUUUUUAUUGUUUAAGCUAUAAUGGAAUCGCAAAUUUAUCAAUUAUAUCCUAGAUUCUUGGUUGCAUAUUCACCUACCCACAACUAUUGCCUUCUGUUUCUUGAUUGGAUAAAUUUUUAUAAUUUCUAGAUCUACUAUUGCAAUGCUUUUGCCGUGUUAAAGUGGAGUUGCAUAUCAUUUUUUUGGUUCACGAAAUUCAUUAUCUGACUAGCUUGGCAAUUAAGUGAUGUAUUUUAUCCGCUCAGGUGAUGUCAAUGGAUCUUGAAGUUGUUGCAGCAAGCUUUAAUUCAUCAGUGUCUCGAUCAUUGUUCCUAUCUGUUGGUCGAAUGGUGAUGUGAGUUAUAUAUAAUUUUAAAUUUUACAUCUUGAAGACUAAUCUUAAGUUGUUUAAUGAUGUUUAUGAAUGCCCUUUAGAUUUCCACAUUUGUUGGUUUCAUUUCUGUAGUUCUAUGGGUGACACGAUUAGAGGUACCAUAGGAAGUUGCAGAAUUUCAUGCGCACUAUUAAGGUUGGACUCUUACUCCCACACACCUCAUUUUUCUUGAAUGUUGACCGGGUUGUAAGUAUUGCUAUUUCUAUAUCAGUUUGUUGAAAUUGGCAAAAACAGCAUGGUUAAGGGGUGGUUUGGGAGUGAGGUGCUUAAAAAAAACACUCAUGAAAAAAAGUUGUGAGGGUUUUAGGUGUUUGGUAAACUAAAAAAAAAAGGCUUAUUUUGGAAGCUGCUGUGAGAAUAAGCUGAAAUCAAAGGAAAAAGCUGAAGCUGCUAUUUGCAGCUUUGGAAAACUGGCUUUUUUUCAAAGCACACGGAGCUACAGUGCUCCUUUAAUGAAAAAACCCACUAUCAGACUGCUUUUUUUUUCAAAAGCACUUUUACAAAAAAGUUUACCAAACACUCUGCUGAUUUAUUUUACAGCCGCUUAUUCUCACAGCACAGUCGCUUAUUCUCACAGCAGCUUUUUUUCAAAGCACAGCGAUACCAAACCAGCCCUAAGUAUGAGUUCGAGAAGAAAACUGGCCUUGUAGUUGUAAGAUUCUUCUUUUUCUUCAAUUACAGGUUGCAUGUCUAAUUUUGUUGAAUUGCAACUUAAUUGAUGAUUAUCCUUCUAGAUGAAUUGUAACUCAAUUGAUUUUAAUUUUUGUUUUCCAACUUAGUUGAUAUGGAAACUGAACUUUUUAAAACCAUAUUCUAUUCCGUUAUAUUACACUAUUGCGUUUGGACUAGCAAUUUUCAUAAGAUGUCACCUAUAAAGUUUGUUGCUUAAUCAUGUCAUAUAUUUUUAUGUUGGAGAUUAUGUAGGUGCUUAGUAUGACGAAAUGGCCCUUGGUUAACUGAGGCGGAAUUCAUGUUCAAUCACCAAAAGUAGAAAUGUUUGCUUCUUUGUUCAAGCAUUUGUUCAAUAAAGAUUGUGGGCAUAGUUGGGAUAGCAUCUCUCACCACUUACGUUUACCAUGCCGCUUUCAUGUUUUUGUACCCAAUUUCAAUUAUCUAAUUAUUAAGAACUUUUUAUUAUAUUUGUUUUAUGAAGAGAAUAAUGUUGCUUACUUUUUCAUACAAUUUUCACUCAUGCGGCAACGCGCAGGUGCAAUUUCUAGUAGAAACUAGACCUUACUAAGAUGUACAAAAAUUGGAAGGACACCUCAGGAAAUGGGUCUGCUCUUAUGUGGCGUUUACUGUUUGGUUUAUUUGGCGUACCAGGUGCGAGUUUGUUUUUAAUCAGGUUCCCAUUCUUCCUUUUAAGGUCCUGUUGGGGGUGUCUUCGGCUGUCGGGGCUUUCUGGGAAGCCAUGGGAUGGUCUGGAGGUGGUGCAGCUCGGCCCUCUGCCCGCUGUGGUCCGAUUCCUCUAUGGAUCCCUCCUCCUGAUUCUUUUGUUAAAAUUAAUGUUGAUGCUAGUUGGUCCCAUGCAUCUCGUUCGGGUUUUGCUGGUGUGGUCAUUCGUGAUGCUUCUGGUCAGUUUGUGGCUGUUGAGCGUUUUGCCUUGUCUACUCCCUCUGUUGCGGUGGCUGAAGCGACGGCUUUGCUGUGUGGCUGUAAGUUGGGGUCCUCGUUGGGCUUUAAAUCGGUAAUAGUGGAAUCGGACUCUAAGGAGUCCAUUGAUUGGCUUUCUGGAGAUGUUGAGGUUGGCAGUUGGAAAGCCUUUCCUGUCCUGACGAGAGUUAAGGUGGAGAGUGAUGCUUUUCAGUUCUGUCGCUGGUCUUGGGUGCCAAGAUCAGCCAAUGGUGCCGCUGACUUUCUGGCGUCGCGGAGUUUUCCGGAGAUGGGUUCUCGGGUUUGGGUUCACAGGCCCCCAUCUUCUCUGGUCUUUGUUUUGAAUAAGGAUGGUCUUCCUUGCCCUCCUUAAUUUUGUUUUGGUGGUGGUGGGGGUGACGCUCGUUGCUGGUGCGUCUGCUUGGUGUAUCCCCUAUCUCUUCUUUCUGUGUUGUUUGCCCUUGUGGUGUUAGCCUCCUGGUAGGCUUCCUGUGCUGUUUGUUUGUUUGUUCCUCCUUUCAAAAAAAAAAAUUGGAAGGACACCUAGGUUCAAGCCAAAAAUAUUGGGAGCAUGAAUUUUUAAAAUUUUGGUAACAAGAGACGAAGAUUAUAAUAAGAAUCCAAUGAGUAAUUUCCAAUAUGUAAAUUUACUUAAGCCAAAAAAGAGAGGCUGAAAAUAGAGAAAAAAUGGCUCACAAUGCAUGCUGGCUCAUGAUUGUAAGGGUAUUUGAAUGCAUGCUAAGCUACUAAGCUUCAUACACUUUAAGUGUGGGAAUUUUGUGUUGAAUUGAAACCAGUGUUGGUAAUUUGGUAUUGAAAUAAUGCAAGCUUAUGAAUGUUGUGUUUAAUUGGUAAUUGUAGACAUCGAAAUUUCGGUAAAUAAAUGUUGACCGAUAAAUCAAAGUGUCAACACUCAUGUAUUACAUAAAUUUUACACGUAGCGUGUGACUCAACGAAAAUUGAAAUGAGUUGGAAAAGUCAUCAAACAGGACACGUGUCAACACCUGGCAGAAAUGACUUAUUUCAUCUGGGAUAUUAUAUUCAAAAUUAGGCCUUGGAAAAUUCUAUAAAUACAAGCCCAUUUCAUUCAUUUGAAUGGGAGGGACCAAUUCAUAUUACACCUUGAAGCUCUGAAGCUCUGAAACUCCGAAGCUCUCAAGCAUCCAGGUUCCCGAAGAAUCAAGAAAGUGUUCUUCGUUCUUCGUUCUUCGUUCAUCGUUCUUCCAAGAUCAAGCCCCAACGGCCCUUUGGAUCAACAAUCAUCCACCAAUUCAAGAUCAAGCCCCGACGGCCCUUGAAGAAAGCACCAUCGUUCAUCAACAGUUCAUCCAAGAUCAAGCCCCAACGGCCCUUUGGAUCAACAACGUCGACAAAUCCACACACAUUCAACCGUUCUUCAAGAUUAAGCCCAAAAGCCCUUGAAGAUCUGUUCAUCACUGUUUCUUCAAGAUCAAGCCCAAAAGCCCCUUGAAGAUCCGUUCAUCACCGUUAUUCAAGAUCAAGCCUCAACGGCCCUUGAAGAAACACUCAUCCUCAAGACCAAGCCCCAACGGCUCCUUGAAGAUUCGCUCAAAUCCACCUUCAAAGAUCAAGCCCACGGCCCUUUGAAGAAACUUCCAACAGUUCAUCCAAGAUCAAGCCCCGACGGCCCUUGGAUCAAUCGCACAUCCAUCACAAAUACACACCUUACGGAGAUCGAAUCAGAGGAUCAAAUUAGAGAGAGAUUGUAACCCAAAAUCAUCAAAUACGAAUAUUUGUUUAUGCACGUCGUUCUUGUCUCUUUCGUUUCAGGAAUUUUCCGGAGAUCGAAUCAGAGGAUCAAAAUAGAGAGAGAUUGUAACCCAAAAUCAUCAAAUACUUAAUAUUUGUUUGUGCACGUCGUUCUUGUCUCUUUCGUUUUUAGGAAUUUUCCGUGUUCACAGUAAUAUGAGAGUAGUUCAAUUUCUUAUAAGCACAUGCAAGAUCCCUUAUUUUCCCAAUGUGAGAUUCACUCUCAACAUGUUCCCUCACAUAUGGUGGGUUUUCAAGUCUAACAUGUGGACAACAAAAAUCGGGUGACGUGGAGCACGUGUGACCGUUAAGCUUCACAUAGGAUAACAUGCUCUAAUAUCAUGAAGAAAGUUAUGGUUCCACCACAAAACUAAUUGACGAUAUAUAAAGUAGUCUAAUCUCUUAUAAGCACAUGCAAAAUCCCUAUUUUCUCUAAUGAGAUUCACCCAACAUAAGCGUUAGGUAAAAACAACUAUUGAUGUGGGCACAUGUUUUAAAUAUACCAAAUGUUGUAUAACAGAAAAACAAACAACUCAUGAAUUAUCUUUGUGUGUAGUGACCAUGGUUGUCCCAAAGUCUUUCAAGAAAAAAGCAAAACAAAACAAAACUGCAAAUGAAUUGAUAGAAAAACAGUUUCUUUGGAAACAAAGUGGGAGUAAGUCUGCAAUCAAUAGACGUUCCCUCCUCGAUUCUUGUAAAGCAGGGAGCCUUGUUGGCUUGGGCUCGCCCUCACUGCAUGCAUCUUCUUUGCAUUGGAAACGUAUACAACAGAGCAAUCAUCUACCAAUUCAUUAGCAAUAUAUUGUUCUUUUCUCUCAGGAUACUAAAAAGCCUUUAACUUAUGCAAAUAAGGAAUGCCCUAUCGUCGGCGUCUCCGCUGCAAAGGAGAUGGAUUAAUUGAGGAAGAUAAAAAAAAAUAAAAAUAAAAUAAAAGCAAAGAAAAAUUGACACAGUUAUGUCAUAUUAGUGCAUGACAUUGAUAAAAAACUUAAAAUAGGAAUAAGAAGCCGAUUCAAUCGGCGUUAUAAUUCUUAAUUACAAAGGAGGGAGUGGAUUCGACAAAGCAGAAGGAAUAGUACUGGAUCUCUGGUGCAAAGGGGGAAGGGGAAGGGGAGGAUCGAACUCUUGUUCUCCACAAUUGCCAAUCUUUCCUAAGCUAGUCUCUUUUCCAACCUAAGAUGUCAUGUCACAGCUCGUCCCAAAAUAUUAUAAUUCUAGACGUGAGAUUACUUAUUUACCCUUGUAUGUUUUGUGUGGUUUUUGUGGGUGAGGUUUUAUAUGGAAAAAUUCUAAAUUUUUCCUACGUUUUUGGAACACUUAGGAAUUAUUUUGAUUGUUUGGUUUUGGUUGAGGACCACAUGUGCCACACAAACAUACACAUUUUCACUCUCUCUCUCUCUCUUCUUCCCGUGCACUCUCUCUCUCUCCUCCUUCUUGACUUUCUCCUGUUUUCGUCAACCUCGUACGGACGAACCGCAAGUUCACCAUUCACACACGGAUCAACAUUAAAAAGGUAAGGAUCUUGUUCCCUACAAGCUUUUGAGUACAUUCGUACCAUUUUUAGGACCUGGAAACCUUAAAAAACCCGAGAACUCUAACCUCCAAUUUGGUGCACUGUUCAUGCACACGUAAAUGUGAAGGUUUCAGUGGAUUUUAAGCUCACAGGGAGCUUUAGAAGGUCCCUACGAAGCUCGGAGAAGAAAAACCAAGCAAUUUGGACGUCAGAAUCGUCAGUUUCAAGCUUGACCGGUUUUUCUCGAAAUUCUUCGGUGAUAUCCUAUGGGAUUUAGGUCCUAAAACUGGUAUGGGUUUGUUCUACUUGUUCUAAGCUUCAUUUUGACAUUUAAUUCGUGAAAUUUGGUUGAAAAUCGAGCAAGAUAUUAAGGUUUAAAGAUUUCCCAGUUUUCGUCGCCAGAGUCCUAGGGUUAGGGGUGACGGAAUAUUCUAUCAAAAUUGACAGAAUAUUCCUAACGGCGUUGGUCAGUUUUAAUGGUUUCCGUUACUUUUAACGGAAUAUUCCUAACGGCGUCAUUGUUACCGUCAGUGUGCUUGGCAUGUAUCCGCGUGUGGGAGGCGCGUUUGGCCAUGCCUUGGCCGGCGUGUGGGUGGUCAGAAAUUUAAAAAAAAAAUAUGGGAAUGUUCGUGAAGUUGUGUAGAUCACGUUGGUAUAUUCAAACACCCUAUUUGAGCAUUGUAUGAGAAGUUAUUAGCUAGUAUUGGUUAGGUGCUUUAAAUUAACGUUUAUUCAGUUAAUUCGCAUAUAGGUGAGACUUAUCCUGAUGACGAGCGCAGUCAAGGGCGACUCGGGGGCUACGACCCUUCGACAUACCAGUUAGUGGGCUUUUGGUUUUCAGUAUAUAUUUAUAUACUUGUUAUUUUCCCAUAAAAUGCGUUUAAAUGAAAGUAUGCCUUGAAUGCGUUGCAUAUAAAAUUAUAUUUUGUAAAUGAAAUAGUAUAUGAUGCAUGAUAUAUAUAAUUGUGGUGUUGUGGAUGCUUAGGUAAGCCCAUGUGAGUUAUGUAUUGUGAUGUGAUUUAAGUUGUGAUUAAUUGAGAAACAUAGAGCUCAUAAACCUGCACCUAGGGUGAUUGUGAUUAGUCAGAGAUAUGGCACAUGCCUGUUAUUAAUGUCACCUCCCGCACCAUAUGCUCACAUUGGAUCCAAUUUAGGUGCACAGUCUUGUCGUAUAGACCAUCAUAGGUGGUUCCAACUUGUAGGUGACUAGCGAUUUAUCGUCCAUCUAUUAUGAGAAAGUAGUAUUGAGCAUAAUUAUAUUACACCCAAUAUUGUCGUACAGACCUUUUCAUUGGUUCCGACUCGAGUGCAGCAUAGUACAGUAUAGGUUAUUGUAGUGACUCCGGCUAGAUUUGAAUAUUGAGCUAUGAAUUCAGCCGAACAUACUUAUGCAGGAGUUCCGGCUAAUAUGUUAUAUUUCCAUGAAUUUAUUCUCACCUGAAUUACUUACUCUGUUAUAUCUUGGCAUGGCAUACUUAUGAUUAUGAAUAUGUGAAGCAUGAUUUGAAUUGAUAUAUUUUCAUAAAUAGUUAUGUAUAUGCUUAUAUUCUAUUUUCUAGGAAAAAUUAUACAUGUUUUACGACGAGGGGUUAGAAAUGUUGAGAAAUAAAAUGGUUUUGUAAAACAUUUGUUUUUGCCCACUCACGUUUUUUGUUUUGCGCCCCUCCAGGUUUUAGUAGACUACUGUUGGUGGCGUGCGAGGAUCCCAGCAGUUCUGACAUAUUAAAAUAAUUGUAGGACAUCUUAUAGUACUGUAUAAUUAGUACUUGUCAUACUGGACUGCACCUAGACUUUUUAUGCUCUGAUUAGGAGUAUUUACUUUUGUAUCUUACUCCUAACACUUUCUGUUUAUUAGUGCACUCUAGUAGUUUCGAUUUUUAAUUAUUCAUAUAUUUCUUAUCCUUAUUGCUUCCGUACUGUGCACAUGACUACGUCACCCUCACAUGACGACCAGCAUGCUCUGAUCUCAGUCGGGGUGUGUCAUGUCCACAAUUGUCAAUCUUUCUCAAGUGCGGUUUAUUUUUUCUCGAGUUAUUUAUAGGCAUAUGGCUUUUGAAUAGUAUCAUUACAUUUCUUAAUGAUAUUUUUCCAUCCAAUUUUACUAACAUGACCAACUUUUCAAUUUCCGAUUAAUGUCUCAUCUACACAAAUACUUAUAAAUGCCUCAAUAGUUGCAUUAUCCCAUAUUGCCUUACUCUUCUUUUCGUUAUUAUACCCGUGUUCAAAUUCUCUACACCUAUUUUGUGUGGUCUUUUAUUAUUGAUUGAGACGUAUUAAGUUUAUGACAACAGAGUUAAGAAGUAAGUUAUAAACAUGUGUCAAUCAAUGAUAAAUGCUACAAAAAAACCACACACAAAAUAAAUGUAGAAAAUUUGAAUUCAUUGUCCCCAUGUGCAUCUUGUGAAUCCUUAACCACAUUUUUUAGAUAUUUAUAUCUCGAGUAAGAGAAAGAGAACAAAAAAAACAUAGAACAUGAUGCACUAUUAAUUAAUUAUGUCCUAGUUAACUAGGCAUAGACCCAAAAUUACAAGCUUAAAAAUAAAAAAUAGGAGCAGUCAUAGAAAGCUAGCAGACACAAAGAACAAAUGAGAAAGAAAAGUAAUUUUAGGCCUUAUGACACCUCAUCUGUCAAUCACAAGUCCGAAGUACUAACGUGGGUUUAGAGUUUUCAAGUCAAAUUCAAUCAAUGCAUGAUGACUGGACCACUCAAUUUACCAGUUACGGGCAAUAGACAUUUGAAAUAAAACUAGCAUUUACAAAAUAGUUAAAUUCAAAUGUAUGUGCAUGAAGAUGGAGAGAGGCUUGGGAAAGAUGCAGACCAAGAGAGCGACUGCUUCAGUCUUCAGCACGAUAUGAAAAACUCACGGGUUUUUUUUAUAGAGAAUUUUAACGAAAAGUUUAUGGUUACUUGAACGAAAACUUAUAUUUUUACACUAAAAAGUCAAUCAUAAUAUUAUUCACUUUACCUUUUAUUUUAUCCUUAUUGUUAAAACUCAAAAUUUUCAAAUUAUUUUCAUUAAUUUUUAUUUUUUUAUAUAGCAGCGUUAAACCUAGAAAAAAUUGGUAAUUUUGAUAUUUUCUCAAAGUCUGAAGGCAUUUUAGACUUUCUAAAUAAAAAAUUAGGAAUAGUUUAGGAACUGAAAAAGUUUUAUUAAAGGGAGCCAAAUAAUUCUCGUGUUUUCACCCGGUAGCACAUUUAGGAGGAGGUGUUUCUUUAAAACCCACUCCAAUUGCUUCUAUUUUUAACUAAAACACUUGUUUGACAAAAAAAAAAAAAAAACCUAAGACACUUGUAAAUUUUUGGCCAAACAACCGUUUCCCAAAAUGAAAACGCUUUUAUGACUUAUUUGGAAGUAUUUUUAAACUGACUGAAAUCACUUUUAAAGAAAAAUAUUUUUAUGUCCAAAAGCACUUCAAGUGCUUUUACAAGAUUAACUUGCAUUUUUACUAAAGAUUAACUCUAAAAACGUUUUUACGAAAAUCACUUUCAGCCAAUUACAAAACACUUUAAAAAAAUGUCUUUAGUCACUAAAAAGCACUUUUAGGUUUAACUAUCCAAAGCACAUGCCAGCAAACCCUAAAUUUUUAACCCCUAUAUAUUGACCAACUAGGGUAACUUCUCAUCCUUUGUCAUCCCAAUAAGACUUGGCAUUUUGGACCCGACCUGUUAAACCGACCCGACCAGACCCGACCCGACCUGACCCGUUAAUAUUAGUAUUUUGGUGGAUACUUAACGGGUCGGGUAGCUAAUGGGCGGGUGAACCCGUUAACAACUCGUUAAAUAAUGGGUCACUUUGAGUCAACCCGUUAGACCCGUUAACACCUAUUAGUUGAGGAUGUUUUAGUAAUUUCAGUAAAGUCUUAACAAUAAAAAAUAAACUCUGAAAAAAAAAUAAUAAUAAUAAUUGUUAACGGAUGAAACGGGUGACUCGUUAGCUUAAUGGGUCUGGUUCGGAUGACCUGUUAACUUAACGGGUCGGAUUGAACCCGAUCCAAACUCGAUAAACCCGACCCGUUUACAGGUCUAAUCCCAAUUGUUGAUGCACCCUUUGCACCCUCCUACAUUGCUUCUUUCUCCUCACGAUCCUCGCAGUUUCCUCUUGAGGUAAUAAAAUAAUGAGUAAUGUUAGGAAAAUUAAAUUUGUAAACUAAAUUAACAAACCAAAUGAGAUGUCAUCAAUAGAAAAUAAGCACGUUUAUCAACAAUUAAUUAAUAAUCCAAUUACUAACUUCCAUGUCAUUUAGUUUACAAAUUUUAGUCUACAAAUUUAGCUUUCCUAGCAUUACUCUAAAAUAAUUAUCCAUUUUAUUUUAUUAUUUAUCCUCUUUCAACUCUUGUCACACAAACCGCAAAACUAGAAGCAACUCGUUAAUAAAGUAAAUUUAAAUAAUUAAAGAAGGGUGGUUUUAUUAGCACCCCACAAUAUUAUGUAUACACCCCACUUUCUUUUAUUUGAUUUGGACACCUUCUUUUAUUUGGUUUGGACUUCCUUUUUUACCCUAUUUAAAUUAGAUAAAAAGCAAACAAACAAAAUCAACAUCACCUUCCUUGCCAUAUUACUCCUCGACAGCCACCCACCAUGGUGGCACCUCCAUUAACAAAAUGAUCUCAAGUAUACCAAAACAUAUGCCGGCUUACAAUUAAACUCAUAGAAAGUCAAUUCAUAGUCACUUACAAUUAAAUUCAUAGAAAGUCAAUUCCUAGUUGACUAUAGAAGGAUCGCUUCUCUGCAAGUAUCAUUUUUCCAUAUUUUUCCCGCCCAUCAUGUAGGUAUCCUUGAUUAGGCUGAUUUCGGCAUUAAAAUUUCAAUUUUAUGGUAUUCCAUGUCUUGUAGAAUAUUAGCAGAAGUGAGAAUUCUAGAGAGAGAGAACGAUGGGAAUGAGGUGGCUAUCAUUGGUUGACGACAUUGACGAAGAAGGUGGCGGCGGGUGAGCGGUUGAGAUAGGGUAUUGGAAGGUUUUCAUUUGUUAAUUAUUGUAAAAAGGUGGGUUGUCUUCAAUAAAUAACAGCGCAAAAAUUGGAAUUUUAGAAAAUAAUUUUGAACUUGGGGUGUAUUCAUAAGAUCGUGUGAUGUUAAUAUAAGAACCCUUAAAGAAACACUAGCAGAAAAAGAAGCCCUAACCUUCUCUACUUUCUAGCUUCUAGAACCUUCUUUUGUUCCUGUGUUCUUUCCAGACCGUUAAACCCUAACCCUAAAGAUAUUUUAGGUUUUAGAUCUAGGGUUUUUGAGGUUUGGUGGUGACUGGAGCUUGGAUUUUAGUUUCAUUUGUUGACUAAUACUCUUAUUUUAAUUUUGAAGUUUUAACGAAACAUUCCCCAUACUGUUCAUUUUUAAUGAAAAACCACAUUUUUAUCUUUUUCUGAUACUAUUCACUACAUAUUUAUUUAUCAUUUUUCAUUAAAACUAAAAGAGUUAUUAUACAAAAUAGUCCCUGAGAUUUGCAUGAUCAAUAAAAAUGGUUCCUAAGAUUGAAAAUCAAUAGAAAUGGUCCCUGAGAUUGUCCACAAUCCAUGAUUUUGGUCCUUUCGUUAAAAACUCUUUGGGGAAUUUUCAAAGCUUUGUAACUCAAUUGUUUCUUAACCAAAUUCGACCCAUAAUAUAUCAAAAUGAAGAUAGGAAAGUGUAGAAUAAGAUUAUACCUAUUUGGAAGCCCAAUGAUUUCCAGAGAUGGCCGGAAAAUAGCCUGAAAUGUGACUGGUCCGCGGGAAAACUGGAAAACUCGCCGGAAACUGGGUAAACUUUAAACGUUCAUAACUUCUUCAAUACUCAACGAAAUCGAGUGAUUCAAAAACGAAAAUCAUACUUCUUGACGAGACUAAGAGCAUAGUACCUUUUCGAAGAUUAAAUAGCUUUGGUUUGGUCGGAAAAUGGCUCAAAAGUGGCUAACCAUUUUCGAGUUAGCCACUUUCGAGCAGUUUUCCGGCCAAAUCAUGGCGAGUCAGCAGUAAAAAAAGAUUCCAUUCUCUUUGUCUCAUCGAGAAUUAUGAUUUUCAUUUUUGAAUCACUCAACGCAUUUUUGAAUCACUCAACUGCGUUGAGUAUUGAAGAAGUUAUGAACGUUUAAAUUUUACCCAGUUUCCAGCGAGUUUUCCCGUUUUCCCACUGACCAGUCAUCUUUCAGGCUAUUUUCCGGCCAUCUCCGCCAAUCAUUGGGCUUCCAAAUAGUUAUAAUCUUGUUCUACACUUUCUUAUCUUCAUUUUGAUAUAUUAUGGGUCAAAUUUGGUUGAGAAUCGAUUGAGUUACGAAACUUUGAAAAUUGCCCAAAGAGUUUUUAAGGAAUGACUAAAAUCAUGGAUGAUGGACAAUCUCAGGGACCAUUUUUAUUGAUUUUAAAUCUCAGUGAUCAUUUCUAUUGAUCAUGCAAAUCUCAGAGAUUAUUUUCAAUCUCAGGGAAUCUGAUUUUGCGAGGGAGAAUGAGGUCGUGGGGGAUUUGGAAGGGAGGGUUUUGGGGAAAUUGGAGAAUUUUAGGGAAGAAGAAGAAGAACCGGAGUGGGGUUGAUGUACGGAUAGGAAAGAGAGAUGAGGCGUGGGAGGGUAGCGUUGGUUGAAACUUGAAAGCUGGAAAAAGUGGUGAGCGACGGAAAAGGUGGAGGAAGCUGGGAGUCCCAGGUGUCACAUAAUUCAUCCCAAUUUGACAGCAAGACAAAAGGCCAAACUCGGAAUACCAUAAAAUAAUCGGGGGUAAAAUCAGAAAUCCACUGUACUAUGAACAGUAUUUCAGUUCAUUUUCUCUUUUAGUAUAUAUAUAAUUUGAUGAGAUUAUGUUUUUAAGUAAAUGUUAUGUUCUUUACUAGGCUGUUUGGAUGCAAUUUGAUUACAUUUUCCGUUCGAUCUGCAACUAAUUUUCCUAUGCCUAUUGCAGCAAUGAUACCAAUCCCAUGGCGCUGAAGGCAGAGGAGAAUGCAAGUCUGCAACGCGAGAUGAAGUUGUUUAUGGCUACACUAAUUGCCAUGGCAACCUUCUAUGCUGGACUUUACCCUUCACGCGCUCUUGUUAAGAACCAGUUCCUUUUCCAACUCUUUGAAGUUUUCAAAGCCACAGGGUUUUUCAUCUCCAUUUGGAUGAUGAAAAUCCUCAGCAGGGGUUCCCCGAUCAAGUUUACAUUGAAGCCGCUCCUCCCUUUACUGUGCCUUGUUUACAUACUGUGCAUUGCUGUCACAUUAAAAAGCACUUCUAAGUUUUAACCAUCCAAAAGCACAUGCCGGCAAACCCUACAUUUUUAACACCUAUAGAUUGACCAACUAGGGUAACUUCCCAUCCUUUGGAAAAUGAUGAGAUCCCGUGAUCGUGACCGUUUAUUGUAUAUCAUACGAUCAGAAAUCAUUUAAAAUUUAAAAUUUAAUAUAAAUAAUACCUAAUGAAAACUGAUCGCACGAUAUAUGAUGAACGAUCAUAAUCACAAAAUUCUCAGAAUCUCCAAGAAAAUGAUCCUUUUGUCAUCCCAAUUACCGCUGCGUCAUUUUCACCCUCCCACAUCCCUUCUUUCUCCUCACGGUCCUCGGAGUUUACUCUUGAGGUAAUAAAAUAAUUAUCCAUUUUAUUUUAUUAUUUAUCCUCUUUCAACUCUUGUCGCACAAACCGCAGCACUAGAAGCAGCUUGUUCAUAAAAAGUAAAUUUAAAUAAUUAAAUAAACACUAGUAGAAAGAGAAGCCCAGACCUUCUCUACUUUCUAGUUUCUAGAACCUUCUUUUGUUCGUGCGUUCUUUCCAGACCGUUAAACUCUAACCCUAGAGAUAUUUUAGGUUUCAGAUCUAGGGUUUUUGAGGUUUGGUGGUGACUGGAGCUUGGAUUUUAGUUUCAUUUAUUUACCAAUCCUUAUUUUUUUGUCAAUGAAUUGUCAUUAACGAUUUUAUCUUGUUCUGUUUCAGAUUCUUGAUUUUUUUUUUAUGAACAUGGCAAAGAGGUCAUUUUUCUUUUUUAUUUUGUUUUAUCUUUGAAUGUUUUUGUUUUAGUAUAUGAUUGUUUUGAACUUGUGAUGUUACUCUGCAUUUUUUUUGCCAUUUAAGUCAAUGUGUUCUCUGAACAAAAUAGAGGAUUAGGCAAGAUUAGUCUUCCAGUGUUAGUCUAAAAGACGUUGGAACUUCAUGUAUUAGAUUAUGAUUGUCGUAAACUAGUGAUGCUACUCUGUUUUGUUUUUGUUUUUGUUUUUUUUUUUACCCUUUGAGUAUAUGCGUUCUCCGAAAAUAGAGGAUUAGGAGAGAUUAGUUCUUCAGUGUUAGUCUAAAGGACGUCAGGGCGCCAUAUUUUGAUUAUACGUGUUGUGAAACUUGAGAUGCUACUCUGCAUGUCAUUUAAGUAUAUGCAUUGUUUGAAAAAUAGAGAAUUAGGCGAGAUUAGUUAUUUAGAGUUAGAAGUAAUGCUAUUGGCCUUAACUUCUGCUUUGGUUGGCUUGGGUAGGCUGACCGGCAAACCAGGGUAUGUUCUUUGCCAGGUUUAUGUUAAGAGUUAUCCCACAUUGGUGAGGGACAAUGUUUGCUAUGUACUUAUAUGAUCUUGAGUCACUCCAAUAUUGCUAAUUGGUUUUAUGGUGGAACCCCAAUUUCAUCAUGGUAUCAGAGCAAGGUUGUCCACGUGUGAAGCCCAACGGCCACACGCGCUCCACGUCACCCAGUUGUUAUUCACGUGUAGGCUUGAAAAUCUGCCACACGUGCAGGAGCGUGUUGAUGUUGGGAAAAAAACUUAGAGUACACAACUCUAACACAAGUAAACAAAUUACUUGUAUUACACACACAAAAUAUUACAACACUCACAAUGACACAACUUUAGAAGCAACGACACUCACUCACUUUCUAGAGACACACUCUAAAUCACUCACACUCCUACAAAACUAUUCUUGCUUCUCACUCUCACUUGGUUGCCUACUACUACUACUACUUGAUUUCUUGUUGGUUGAUAACACACAUACAUACAUAUUUAUAGUGAGGUUUGCCGACUUACAAAGUUGGCUAGAACAUUACAGUGCAAUGGUUAUGCAUUGCACCGACUCACACAUGCAAACCGACUUGGGCUUUUUACAACAGCCACACAAUUUGGCUUUUAGGUCUUUCUACAAUCAAACCAUUCACCUAGAUUUUCUUAAGCCUAAGACGGUGGACAUAGGCUUUUCCACCCAAACACUAAUUGCUGCACUUUGCUGGAGUUUUCUAGCAUAUUCUUAAUAUGCAUGCACCUUUUAUACAUACACCACUGACUAACAAUCUUGCUAGAAUUAUCUAGCAUUUUCCAGCAUGCAUCGGCCACCUUCAAUAUUACUUGCUAGAAUCUUCUAGCACAAUCCCAUGCAUAUUUGAACUAGAAUAAUUUAGUUCAUUUGUACCGACUGAUCUUAAUAGGCUGGUGUUGAUCUUUAACAGUUGAGAGUUGUCCCACAUUGGUGAGGGACAAAGUUUGCUAUGUGCUUACAUGAUCUUGGGCUACUACCUAUAUUGCCAAUUGGUUUUAUGGUGGAACCCCAAUUUCAUCAGUUUAGAUACAACUGGUUUUAUUGUUGAAUGCUAUUGAUUUAGAUUCGCAAUGUUCCUCUGGUUUUUUUGCCAAUGAAGUAUGUGUUGUUCGAAAACGUUUACGAUUUACAGGUUUGUAUUCUUGUUUUCCCAAAGUUAAUGAGGAUUUGAUGAGGUUAGUUUUUUUGUGUUAGUCGAAAAGAAUCCGGACCACACCACAGUUUUAUAUUCUCAUUUAACUUGUGAUGGUCCUCUGUUAUAGCAUAUAUUUGAUGAGAUUAUGUUUAUAAGUAAAUGUUCUGUUCUUUACUAGGCUGUUUGGAUGCAAUUUGAUUACAUUCUCCGUUCGAUCUGCAACUGAUUUUCCUAUGCCUAUUGCCGAAAUGAUACCAACCCCAUGGCGCUGGAGGCAGAGGAGAAUGCAAGUCUGCAACGCGAGAUGAAGUUGUUUAUGGAUACACUAAUUGCCAUGGCAACCUUCUAUGCUGGACUUUACCCUUCACGAGCUCUUGUUAAGAACCAGUUCCUUUUCCAACUCUUUGAAGUCUUCAACGCUGCAGGGUUUUUCAUCUCCAUUUGGAUGAUGAAAAUCCUCAGCAGGGGUUCCCCGAUCCAGUUUACAUUGAAGCCGCUCCUCCCUUUACCGUGCCUUGUUUACAUACUAGGCAUUGCAAAUAUGUUUUCUUGCUCCUGCUGCACCUGCAGGUUAUGGAUGUGAUAAUGUAAUUCGGUCAGAAACAUGGUAACUCUGUUGUCUAACUGGCGUUUUCGGGCACCUGAAGUUUAUGAAUGUGAUGUAAUUCUGUAGAAACAUGGUACCUUGUUAUGUAACUGGUGUUUUCGAAAACCCGAAGCUUAUGAUGUUAAUUAACUGGUGUUUUUGGGCACCUGAAGUUUAUGUAGUGGAUUUGCAAGAUUUGUGACUACUUGUUUAAUUGCUGUAUUUGAAUACAGUUUCAUCAAUAGAGCAGAUGUGAUUUAGUUCCUUUAGUGAAUGAAAAGUUUUGAUGUAACAGGUUUGAUAGGGGGGAUGCACAUAUAUCCCUAUUACGAAUAACAUAUCUUGAUCAUAAAAAUUAAAUGAUCAGGAAACAUAUCAAGUAAAUGAACGAUUUAUUAUGAAUAUGUUACUUUGUUGAUGCACAAAAUCAGCGAGGACUUUGGUACAACAGAAAGUGUCAGGUUUGUGACCUUCGCUUGGUUGCUUCGAUCACUAGUGAAGAUAAGUACGUAAAUGAAUAGGGACAGGGAAGCAAACACAAGAUGUACGUGGUUCACCCAGAUCGGCUACAUCCACGGAGUAGAGGAGUUCUCAUUAAUUGUGAAGGGUUUACACAAAUACAUAGGUUCAAGCUCUCAUUUUGUGAGUUCUAGUGAAUAGUUUAGUACAAAAUGACAUUAGAGAUUAUUGUGGGAGAAUGAUCCCUAUUUAUAGAAGAGAGUUUCUAGUUUUGUUCUAACAUUGACACGUGUCGUGUUGUGAUUGGCUUCUGAUGUUGACACGUGUCGAGCUGUGAUUGGCUUCUGAUGUCGACACGUGUCGCAUUGUGAUUGGCCUCCUGGUUGAAGGGAAGCUCUUCUGGGUCUUCGACGGUAUAACGUUGACCGGUGCUCAGUAGUUUCGAGAUUGGUCAAGUAUGGUACAAACAGUGCUCCCCUAAGUUCCCGAGUGAGGGAAGCUCCUCGGUUGGGGACUUGCAAGAUCCAAGCCAUUGAGUAAUCACGAAACUUCUAAGUACUGAAGUGUGGUAUCAUUUUCACGUGCCUUAUCUGUCUCAUAUGUAGAUGUGAUAUCUUCUCUGGAAGUACUUUUCCUCCAUCCAUGGAUGGUAUCUUUAACCGAUGAAGAUGCACAAGGUAAUGUAUCAAUUUCACUUGAAGCUUACUUGUAGUUUCGGGCUUGGUCAAGUGCGAUACAAACCCUAUAGUAGGAGUCUCCGAGAGAUAAGAAAAAUAAAUUACAUCACUUUAAAGUAAGGAAAAUAAAUCACAUCAUUCUGGUGGGGUGUUUAUUCCUCACUUUUUCUUUCUGCUUUUGUUUUUGCUUUCUCUUUUCCACCACACAUCUCUCUGUCUCCGUCUUUGCGCUACUGUCCAUUUGUAAAGAGCAUCUUUAGAGGUCAUCACUUAUGAACCCCACGACCACUUUCUUUGAAGGUCAUCAACCCACAUGUGCUUGCAUGCACCCCUCUUUAAGAAAUUCAUAUUCAAUGGUUGCUUUGUCUAUCUCUAUCUCACAUAUUAUAUCACCCACUUCUAUCUUAUCUCCUUUCUUUCUCCACUUAAAAAUGUUUCCUUGACUCAUUGUCGGUGAUAAAGCUGGCAUUUCAACGACAAUGUGAGCAGGAAGUUAUGAUGUGUCGAGCUAGGAGAUCUGCCGAAAGACGUGACAGACAAGGUAAGCAGUCAAACUUCCAAGCAAGCAACCCAGGAUCGGAGGUUCGACUUCGGCUUCCGGUUGAUUAUUCUCCUUCUCCUUGUCUCUCAUUCAGCUGCUAGGAUAAGGAGAAGCAAAUGGAGAAGAGAUGAUAUGAGAUACUUUUGCUUUUGAAGAAGUAACUUUCCACAGGCUUAUUCUUGAACUGUGCUGGAGGGUUUUCUGGUUCCCUUCAGAGUAUAAGGCCGACUCAAGAAUUUGAGGGUCAAAACAAGUCCAUCAAAUCUAGAGUACGUUCGACCUUGAUGAUAUGGGAUACUUUUGCUGUUGACGGAAUACUGAAUGUGGUAUGGAAAGGUGUCGUGCUGUAGUGAUCUGUUUCAGCUCACCGUUGAACCUUCUGCUUCAAUCUUUUGCAUGGCAGAAGUGGUGUGCAACCUUUGCAUUUAAAUGGUCCUUCAGAACAUUCCUUCAUAGUGACUCAUCCACGCUUGGCAGCUUCAGUGUAAAGAGCCAAUAUCUGAUCAACUGUCAUGAGGUAUGUGCCGGUGGAAUUCAUGACCUUGACAACAGUUGAGGAUGAGUUCUCGAGAGCAAUGCUAAGUAAGCAACCAGGCAAAGGUCUCAGGCAGUCAGUUCCAGAUUGGAGGUUUGAUUUCAAGUUCCGACUGACUGCUCUCUUUCUCUUUGUCCUGCAGGUGUGGACAAGGACGAAGACAAGGACAGGGAUAAAGCAUGAUAUGGGAUACUCUUACUUUCGACCCUGAUGAUAUGAGAUACUCUUGUUCUUGGUGUGGCUUAUUUGCUGAGGUAUUAUCAGGGGGAAAUAAAGCUAAGUAUUUCGAGAGGUUAUGUUGAGGGUGCAUUCUCGAAUGCGAGAAAGGGUUAAGCAUUUUUGCAGGUUUGCCUGUCCGUUGAGGAGGGAGGUCGAUGUAUAUAGGGAUUUCCCAAUAACAAGUAGUAAUGUUAUUCCCUUACCCUUCUUGGUCACAGCAAUGUAGUGGGAGCUGCCAGCUUCACGUGUUUUAACUUUGUCAGAGCACUUUGAAAAAGUGGUAUGUGGUAUCUGGAAAGCUAAUGUUGCGUGUGAAGAUUACAGACAAGCUUUAUCUAAGGAAAUCUGGCUCUCGAAGUUCUGAGAGCUGUGCCUCUUCGGUUUUCGAACAAGCAAUCCCGUCGGGGAUCUGGCUCUCGAGAUUCGGAAAGCGGUGCCGCUUCGAUUUUUGAGAAAGUAAUUAUGUUGAGAGUCUUUUCUCGAAUGUGAGUAAAGGUUGGACGUUCUUGCUAGCCUAUCUUGCCACGGAACAUGGAGGUCGACACACAUAGGGACUUUCCAGUUGUCAAGCAGUGGUGUUGUUCCUUUACCCUUGUGGGUAAUAGUAGGGUAGCUGGAACUUCGAAAUUCUCGCGCCUAAACUUUGUCAGAGAUCUUUGGCAAAGUUAUAUGUGGUACCCGAGGAGUUGAUGGUGCGUGUGGAGAGUGGUGAUUGAACAGCAAGAUUCGCGUGCUUUCUACUUCACUAGAAAUCUUUGACAGAUUACCCGUAAUUUCUGCAAAGCUAAGUGUGCAUGUGACAGGUGCUGACGAGGCUGAAAAAGAAGGUGCUUCUUCGAUUUCUGAGAUCGGCCCUCGUGGUCUCUGAGUACCCCAACUUUUGAGAAAGGAAGCGCCUCUUUGAUUUUUGAGAUCGGCCCUCGUGGUCUCCGAGCAGCCCAGCUUUUGAGAAAGCAAACGCCUCUUCGAUUUCUGAAGCUCCGUCGAGUGCAGAUUUUUAUAGAGGCUGGCAUUAAGUUCCACAGCACACUUGAAUCUCCACCAGUAUAAGCUCCCUUCUUGCACUUCUAAGAUCUUGAUUUGUCUGACCUCUUCCCUCUUCAACACCUUUGAAAAUGUUUGGCCCCUCCGACCGUCGUUUUGACUUGAACCUUGGAGAAGAGACAGCCAUGCCUUCUCCAGACAACAUAUGGCGGCCAUCCUUCAUAUCCCCUACUGGUCCUCUUACCGUUGGGGAUUCUGUGAUGAAGAAUGAUAUGACCGCUGCGGUGGUGGCCAGGAACCUUCUCACUCCAAAAGAUAACAGACUACUUUCCAAACGGUCUGAUGAGUUGGCUGUUAAGGAUUCUCUGGCUCUUAGUGUUCAGUGUGCAGCUUCUGUGUCUAAUAUGGCCCAACGCCUAUUUGCUAGAACCCGCCAAGUUGAAUCAUUAGCUGCUGAAGUGAUGAGUCUCAAACAGGAGAUUAGAGUGCUCAAGCAUGAGAAUAAACAGUUGCACCGGCUCGCACAUGACUAUGCUACAAACAUGAAGAGAAAGCUUGACCAGAUGAAGGAAUCUGAUGGUCAGGUUUUACUUGAUCAUCAUCGGUUUGUGGGUUUAUUCCAAAGGCAUUUAUUGUCGUCGUCUUCUGGGGCUGUACCGCGUAAUGAAGCUCCAAAUGAUCAACCUCCGAUGCCUCAUCCUUCUGGGGUUUUGUCCAGUACUGAGGCUCCGGAUAACCACCCUCCGGUGCUUUCUCUUUCUGGGGCUCUACCGACUGCUGAGACUUCCCCUAAGCAACCUUUGUGAAGGCUCCCUCUUGUUUGUUUAUUUUGAUUCAUGUAUAUGUACAUAUUUGUAACUUAUCGGAAAUAUCAAUAAACAAGAUUUGCUUCAUUUCAACGUAUUGUGUUAAAUACACCAAGGCCUUCUUCACUAAGUUCUUUGAAUUUUUCCUUUUGUUGAAGCUUGUAUGUUGAAACUUUGUGAGUGAAGUAUGUAGGUUGAGGUAGUGCUCCCUUAAUUUCCCGAGUGAGGAAAACUUCUCGUUUGGAGACUUGAAAAAUCUAAGUCACUAAGUGGUCGUGAAACUUCCGAGUAUCAAGGUGCAGUAGCAUAUGGUAGGAGUCCCCAAAGACUCUGGUCGAGGGAGUUGACGAAUGAGGCAUUUUCUUUCUAAGUGGUAGCCUAAAACUCCUUCUUCAUAUAUAUUUGUUAUGAAAGUUGUUAGGCCCAAAGAAGAGGAGGCCUAGGCAAUUUUUUUUUUUUUUGAAUUUUUAAUUUUUUGAAUUUUUUUUUUUUUUUGAUUUUUUUUUUUGAUUUUUCAAAUUUCCGGAUUUUUGAAUUUUCGAAUUUCCGAAAAAAUAAAAAUUAAAAAUAAUAUAUAUAUAUAUAUAUAUAUUUAAAAGUUUUGUUGGUGAAGCUUUGGUGUUAAAGCUUUGUAGGUGAAGCUUUGAGGUUGAAGCUUUGUUGGGCAUCAUGAAUUGAUUUUGCUUCACACUAUCUUGAUGAAGAGUGUGUGAAGCUUUUAUAUGUUUUGGUGUUGAAAUUUUGUAUUGUAGGUGAAGCUUUGGGGUUGAAGCUUGAUAGGUGAAGCUUUGGUGUUGAAGCUUUAUAGGUGAAGCUUUGGUGUUGAAGGGUUGAAGCUUUAUAGGUGAAGUUUUUGGUGUUAAAGCUUUAUAGGUGAAGCUUUGGGGUUGAAGCUUUAUAGGUGAAGCUUUUGUUGGCACCAUAAAUUAAUUUUGCUUCACACUAUCUUGAUGAAAAUAGUGCAAAGCUUUUGAGAUUGAUAUUUGUCCUCCAUUGAUGAAGCUUUUGUUGGCACCAUAAAUUGAUUUUGCUUCACACUAUCUUGAUGAAGAUAGUGCAAAGCUUUUGAGAUUGAUAUUUGUCCUCCAUUGAUGAAGCUUUUGUUGGCACCAUAAAUUGAUUUUGCUUUUGUUGGCACCAUAAAUUGAUUUUGCUUCACACUAUCUUGAUGAAGAUAGUGCAAAGCUUUUGAGAUUGAUAUUUGUCCUCCAUUGAUGAAGCUUUUGUUGGCACCAUAAAUUGAUUUUGCUUCACACUAUCUUGAUGAAGAUAGUGCGAAGCUUUUGAGGAUUGUAGUUGUGUUCCAUUGAUGAAGCUUUGUUGAAUUUCCCAAUUUCCAAUUUCCUCUUUUUUUGUUUUUUGUUUUUUUUUUGUUUUUGUUUUUUUUGUUUUUUUUGUUUUUGUUUUUUUUUUUUUUUUUUUUUGGGAAAACUAGAAAUUUGAAAAUGUGGGAGAGACAACGUAUACAAAUUUUGCUUCCAUACUGUUAAGCGAGAGAUUGUGAUGCAAGCCAUAUCUUGUAGUAGUCGAAGGUUUGGAUGAACCAUAUAAAUUGAAUUUGCUUCGAACAGUCUUGAUCAAGAGCGUUUGAAGCUUUCUAUGUGUUGUAGUGUUUGCAUUGUUACAGAGGAGAAAUGUCUGAAGCAGAUGCAAGAGGGCUGAAGAGCUUGAUCUUCGUAUACCAUGCAUUGAAGCCAUUGUUGGCUUGCAAUAAGACUUUGUUGGUGACUAUAGCUCUUGUUAGGCAUAAGUGCUCCCCUAGUUGAGUUGUAAAGCUUGAUGGUUUUUUAUUAUUUGUGAAUGCUAGGAGUUCACAUGUACAAGUUGUACCACUCGUCUUCUGGUUAGUGGAAUGAAUGGUGGGUUGCUUUCAUCACUUGGUUGGUGGUACGAAUGUGAAUUCCUUAAUCACCUUUCAUCACAUUUCAUCACCUGGUUGGUGACAUGAAGAAGAGUACGCGUUGUACAUUUCAUCACCUGGUUGGUGGCAUGAAGGAAAGUACGCGUUGUACAUUUCAUCACCUGGUUGGUGGCAUGAAGAUGAGUUCCUUCUUCACCUGAUUGGUGAUAAGGGUGGCAAGUUUCCAAAUAAUAUUAGAGUACGGGUUGUACAUUUCAUCACCUAGUUGGUGGUACGAAGGUGAGUUCCUUCAUCACCUAGUUGGUGAGAAUAAGGGCAAGGUGUCGAGGCACAUUGUGGCAAAUGUCGAAUGACACAAAGUGUGUUGAACCCUUUCGAAGCACAGUUGGCUUAUGUAUGGAUGUGUUGGAAUGUAUGAUGUUUAUGCAUGAAUGUGUUGGAAUGUAUGAUGUUUAUGUAUGAAUGUAUUGGAAUAUUGGAAUAUAUGAUGUUUAUGUAUGAAUGUGUUGGAAUGUAUGAUGUUUAUGUAUGAAUGUGUUGGAAUGUAUGAUGUAGAUCCUUUGUAUAGUCUUGUUGACACAUACUUAGAUUUUGUUUUGUAUUGGAAACAUUUGCGUUGAAGCUUCAACACUUGAGUGUUUCAUUGCUCAGAAUGGAAAAUAGUUUAUGGCCGAGUUGGCUAAAUCACCUCUUUAUUGAAUUCAUACCAAAUGGUCUUUGUUACAUAGGAUGCCGAACGGCUGUAGCUUAACACUUGUACUAUGUGAGUCUAUUUGUAAUAAUACUUCAAGUGGUCAGCAUUCCAUGGAUGGCCAAGGGUCUUGCCGUCGGAGUUUCUGAGCUUGUAGGAGCCAGGGCGGUUGAUGCCGACGACCUCGAACGGUCCGUCCCAGUUAGGACUAAGUGUUCCUUCACUCGGGACCCUAUCACAGAGUAAUCUUUUCUUCAGUACCCAGUCUCCCACUUUGAAAGAGCGAGGUUUGACCUUUGAGUCGUAGUAGUUGGAAAUGCGCUGCUUGUAGGCGACAUUCCUCAGGUGAGCCUGAUUUCUGUGUUCCUCGACUAGAUCCAAGUUGAGGGUGAGUUGUUUGUCGUUCUCACUCUGCAUGUAAUUCUGGAUUCGGUAUGUUGCUUGCUCAAGCUCAACCGGGACAACUACUUCUGUACCAAAAGCAAGUGAGAAUGGAGUUUCUCCUGUGGAAGUCCGAUAUGAAGUGCGGUAUGACCAAAGAACUUGGGGUACGAAUUCUGGCCAACAACCUUUAGCUUUGUCCAAGCUAGUUUUCAAAAUGCGCUUGAUUAUUUUGUUAACGGCCUCGACUUGUCCAUUAGACUGGGGAUGGGCUGGAGAGGCAAAACAUAAGUUGAUGUUGAACUUAGAGCAGAACAUUUUGAACUUCUUGUUGUCGAACUGCCGCCCAUUGUCCGUGACUAUCGCAUCGGGAAUGUCGAAUCUACAGAGGAUGUUCUUCCAUACGAAGUCUUCUAUUUUUCCCUCAGUAAUGGUUGCCAAGGGUUCUACUUUAGCCCACUUUGUGAAGUAAUCAACUGCAACGAUUGCAUAUCGGACCUUGCCCUUCCCUGCAGGCAUUGGGCCAAUCAAAUCAAGUCCCAAUUGGGCGAAGGGCCAAGGGCUGAUCAUAGGAGUGAGCGGCUUGGGAGGGGAGUGAGGGAUAGUUGCGUAGCGUUGACACUUAUCACAUGAGCAAGAUAUUCUGAUGGCAUCUUGGUGGAGUGUUGGCCAAUAGUAUCCUUGGCGAAAAGUCUUGUGUGCUAGGGAUCGAGACCCAGCAUGAUCUCCGCAGACUCCUUCAUGUAUUUCCCGAAGGACAAUUUCCGCCUCCGCAGGUGUAAGGCAUCUUAGGUAGGGCAGGGUAAAACCGCGCUUGUAGAGUUGGUCAUUAAUGAUCAGGUAGCGAGCAGACUUGUAUCGAAUCUGCUUAGCUUGGACUUUGUCAUUUGGGAGGGUGCCAUGGGCAAGGAAUUUAUAAAUUGGGGUGAUCCAACUAUCUCCUUGUUGUAAAUUGCACACUUCCGCGACCAUGGUGCUUGGUGCUGCCAACAAUUCGACAUGAAUUUUUCUCCCAAUCUUGUCUUCCACUGCCGAGGCGAGGCGGGCCAAAGCGUCUGCAUGACUGUUUGCCGCUCGAGGAACUUGGGUGAUCUGGUAGUGGAAGUGCUUGAGCAAAAGUCGUGUUUGCGCAAGAUAUGCUGCCAUGGAGCUAUCCUUAGCAUCAAAGUUGUUCGUGACUUGGUUGACCACUAAUUGGGAGUCACUGAAGAUAUCAAUUUGUUUAACUCCAAGAUGCUUGGCCAAACGUAAGCCUGCUAGAAGGGCUUCGUAUUCGGCCUCGUUGUUCGAUGCCUUGAAUUUGAAACGAAUAGCUUAUUCUAUCGCCACUUUGUCAGGGGUAGUGAGGACUAAUCCUGCUCCGCAGCCCUGUUGGUUGGAUGAGCCAUCAACAUAUAGACUCCAUGCUGGGGUUGUUGAUUCUAUCUUCUGAGCUUCCGAUGGUAAUGAAGCUAUUGCUUCAGGUGUAGAAGCAAUGUCAACAGGAUAUGUGAAGUCGGCGAUGAAAUCUGUUACUGCUUGACCCUUUUCGGCAGGUUUUGGUUGGUAGGAGAUGUCAAACUCACCCAAUGCUAUCGCCCAUUUGAUCAUUCACCCAGACGUGUCAGGACUCUGGAGUAUAUGUCGAAGAGGGUGAUUGGUAAGCACGAUGAUGGCGUGUGCUUGGAAAUAAGGGCGAAGUUUUCGAGCAGACAUGACCAAUGCUAGAGCUAAUUUCUCAAUGUUGGAGUAUCGUGUCUCCGCAUCUUGUAGGGCCUUGCUAGCAUAGUAAACGGGUCGUUCGACACCACUGUCAUUUAGAAUAAGAACAGAACUGACUGCUGAAGCCGAAACCGAUAGAUAGAUAAUGAGAGUGUCACCAACUUCUGGUUUGGAGAGCAGAGGGGCUUUACUCAUGUAAUCUUUGAGGUUCCUGAAUGCCUUGGCACAUUCCUCCGUCCAUGUAAUGUACUUCUUAUUUCCCUUGAGUGCUUUGAAGAAAGAAACACAUCUGUCUGUGGCCUUAGAGAUGAAUCUGGUUAAGGCUGCCACCUUGCCAGUAAAGCUUUAGAUGUCUUUUGAAGUUACUGGCUCUUUCAUGUCGAUGAUUGCUUUGAUCUUUUCGGGGUUAGCUUCAAUGCCUCGUUGGCUAAUCAUGAAGCCUAAGAAUUUGCCAGAGCCCACGCCGAAGGCACAUUUGUUGGGGUUCAACCUCAUUCAGCAUGUUUGCUCUUGACUAACAUAUCAUCAACGUAAACUUCCAUGCUCUUCCCAAUCUGUUCGGCGAACAUUGAAUUGACCAGUCUCUGAUAAGUUGCUCCCGCAUUCUUUAGACCGAAGGGCAUGACUUUGUAGCAAUAUAGUCCCCUGUCAGUAGUGAAGGCUGUGUGUUCUUGGUCUGAAGGGUUCAUGAGGAUUUGGGUGUAUCCUGAAUAAGCGUCCAUGAAGCUCAAGAGCUCACACCCUGCUGUAGAGUCUAUAAGUCUAUCAAUGAGAGGAAGGGGGAAACUAUCCUUUGGGCAUCCUUUGUUUAGGUCGGUGUAGUCAACACACAUUCUCCACAAGACCUUUUAAAGCAGGAGACUUUCCUUGGUCGGAUUUUUCUUAACAAGGACAACAUUUGCUACCCAUGUUGGGUAAUUGACUUCACGGACGAAGCCUAUGUCCUUGAGUUUUUCAACUUCUGCUUUCAUCGCCUCGUAUCGUUCAACAUCAUAAGAUCUUCGCUUCUGUUUUACUGGUUUGGUCUUGGGAUCAAUACUCAAAUGGUGACAGAUGAUAUCGGGAGAGAUGCCCGGCAUAUCUUUAUAUGACCAAGCGAAGACCUCGGCGUUCUCUUGCAAAAAGGAGAUCAGCGACAACCGAAGGGGUGAUAAAAAAGUGGUGCCAAUCUUCACCAUGCGAUCUGGAUGGUCUUUGGAGAUAGAGACAUUCUCUAACUCUUCAGCGGGUUGUGCUUGCUGGGUGAAUGAGUCAUCUCGAGGGUCGUCGGGUUGACUGGUGCCAUCAUGAAGAUCCGAGUUGGCUUCAUCUGGACUGGUCUUUACUACCUGGUUAUGUAUAGAGAUGGUCUCCUUGGGGACAGGCAGGUGUUGUUGCUUAACUGAAGUGUUGUAACAUGAUUGAGCACUAAGUUGAUCUCCCUUGAUGUAUCCAUUACCGAAAGGGGUUGGAAACUUCAUCAACAUAUGUGUGGAUACCAUGGCCUUGAGAUCAUUGAUGCCUGUGCGCCCAAAGAUGACAUUGUAUGCCGUCGGGCAAUUGACCACUAGGAAGUUAGUGGUAAUAGUAGCUGUGUAGGGGCCUGUACCAAUGGUGAAGGGUAAGUGUAUACUCCCUAAAGGUUGCACGAUAUCGCCAGAGAAGCUUAUCAGAGGAGAAAUCGAGCUAUCGAGCAAGUGUUCAGCUACAUUAAGUGCCUUGAAAGCUUCAGCAAACAUGAUAUUGACUGAAGCACCUGUGUCUAUCAGGAUUCGUUUCACAUCAAAAUUUGCUAUGUGAGCCUCCACGAUCAGCGGGUCGUGAUGGUAGAUAAUACCUCUUUCUUCCUCAGGGUAGAAACAUAUUGGAUCCCAGUUAGGUUUUUGAUACUUGCCUCCCCUGAUGUCUUCCACGUGAAACACUUGAUGGCCAGGUUUCAAAGUUCGUUCACUGUUUUUCAUAGCCCUAUUGGAAGAUUCAGACAUAGGUGUGCCGCCGCUUAUAGAAUAUAUCACAUUCACCUGGCGUUGGUUACGGUUAUCCCUUGGAGGGUGAAGGAGGAACUGAUCAAUUUUUCCUUCACGUGCCAAAGCUUCAAUAUGAUCACGGAGGAUGACGCACUCCUCGCCAUCAUGGCCAUUAUACUCGUGGUAGCAGCAAAACAUGCCCGUGUUUUUCGUGGACUUGUAAUCUGGCUGUCUUGGCUUUGGCUUUGGUAUCAGAUGAGCUAUACUGGGGUAGAUGGCCGCGCAUGUAGCGUUCAAAGGUGUGUAUGUCUCAUACCUCGGGGUAGGGCCUGUCUUGACACGUGAUUGGCCCACUGCAUUGACUGCCUGGGGACGGGCGUUAUUGUGACGAUAUCCUGAGUUAUCGCGAUAGUGCCCCUUAUUCUUUUUAUUAAAAUGAGAUUGGUGAGGAUGGAAAUCUUUCCUUUUGCCCUGGGAUUGAUAUGUCUGCUGACUUGGCGAAGCAUUAAAUGAGGCAGGGGGUGUGCUGCUACCGUUUGGAAGGUUAAGGUCUUCUCAUUCGGUUGGAUCUGGCCUCCACUCCCUACUUGCUGAUAAGGGGUGACUGUAGGGGGUUUCCCUUGAUAUGUCCUUGCCUCGGCGGAGGCAUGGUUGUAAGCUUGUGCCAUCACCUCAGAGUAAGUCUUCCAAGUGUUGGCAUUGAUCAUGUACUUGAAGAAACAGUCACGUAAGCCUGCCGUGAAGGCCUUGAGGGCGGUCUUGUCAUCUGCCUUAGCGCAACGAGAAUACUCAUGGCUGAAGCGGCCAGCAUACUUUCGUAAUGACUCGUCCGGCUUCUGGCGAAUAGUGUACAAGUCAUCUGUGGAAUGCAAGCGAUCGGUCUGGAAGAUGUGUUGAGAGACAAACAGCUUCCUCAACUCUUCAAAUGAGUCUACUGUCUCAGGCGGAAGACGGCAAUACCAGUUUAAAGCUCAGCCAGAGAGGGUGGAGGGGAAGAGAAGGCAACGUUCUUCGUCGGUGUGUCUCCGGUAUACCAUGGUGGACUCAAAGAGGUUAAGGUGUUCAAUCGGGUCUUCCUUUCCAGUAUAGAGUUGUAAGCCAAGCUUCUGCUUUGUCUUUGCUUGGAGGGGGGUGUUGAGGAUCCUUCUUGUGAGGGGCCCAGGCCUGGGUUGGUUCCAGUCAGGUAUCUCGGCUUGACGUUCAGCCUUCAACUUGUUUACUUCCUCCAGGAGUUGUAGGACAAGGGGGUCCUGAGUGGAGUCGUGCACCACUGAAGGUUUCUUUCGUAAGUCCCCAUCGCCUCUUGUAAGUAGGAAAGUUUGAUCAAGAUAACGUGAUUUUUCCUUAGACUCGUCACACUGACUCCUAGAGUGAGUAUGUCGGAACAUUUCCGAGUCCCCUGUACCUUCAUGUUCUUCUGGGACUUGUUGCCCAUUCCUUAGAUUAACUGCUGGCCUGGGUCGUGGGAGAGGACCGAGUCUUUCAGAAACUCUUGGGUCAUUGAUCUUCGAGCUUAUGUGGAUGGGAUUCUCUCGACGUUGCUUUAGAAAGUCUCGACAAUCGCGAUAGACGGCUUUUGAUCCUUCCACUCCUUCUGUGAGGAUGUGCUUUCCUCUACUCCUUCUGCUUCGGGUUGAAGCAGCUGGGUUGAGAGAAGUCUCAUGUUGAUUAUCACAUUGAUAUGUAGCUCGAUCCUUAUCAGGGAUGUCUGUGUUGGAUAUCGGUGACCCUCCGUGUUGGGGGGCAUUCAGAUGAUUGUUGACCUCAGCAGGGGCGACGAGCUUGUGUGCUUGAGCAUGCCUAGCCUCGUGAAGCAUCUCGAAAAGUUUUUCAUACUGCUCCUGGAGAACCUCGUUCCUCAUCACUAUCUUGUUGUUCUGAGCUUCUAACUCAUCGACUUUAGCUUGAAGAGUAACUCUAUUUCCUUCCUGCUUUCAUUGCUUCGUACUAGGUCCAAUGGGGGUGUCAUUCUGUGUGUUAUGGCUUCUUUCGCUCCCCAUGUCGGAGAGAGAUGCUUGGCCAAAAGAGAGUGUACGAGCAGUGGAAACCAGCUUGACAAAGCUGAAGAGAGUGGGAAUAAGUGUCAGUUCCCACAAACGGUGCCAAAUGUUGAUGCACAAAAUCAGCGAGGACUUUGGUACAACAGAAAGUGUCAGGUUUGUGACAUUCGCUUGGUUGCUUCGAUCACUAGUGAAGAUAAGUACGUAAAUGAAUAGGGACAGGGAAGCAAACACAAGAUGUACGUGGUUCACCCAGAUCGGCUACGUCCACGGAGUAGAGGAGUUCUCAUUAAUUGUGAAGGGUUUACACAAAUACAUAGGUUCAAGCUCUCAUUUUGUGAGUUCUAGUGAAUAGUUUAGUACAAAAUGACAUUAGAGAUUAUUGUGGGAGAAUGAUCCCUAUUUAUAGAAGAGAGUUUCUAGUUUUGUUCUAACAUUGACACGUGUCGUGUUGUGAUUGGCUUCUGAUGUUGACACGUGUCGAGCUGUGAUUGGCUUCUGAUGUCGACACGUGUCGCAUUGUGAUUGGCCUCCUGGUUGAAGGGAAGCUCUUCUGGGUCUUCGACAGUAUAACGUUGACCGGUGCUCAGUAGUUUCGGGAUUGGUCAAGUAUGGUACAAACAUACUUGGUACUUACAUCGUUGAUUUAUUAUAUACAUUUGAAUGACUAAGUUGUGAACUUGUGAUGCUACUCUUCUCUUUUUGUUUUUGCCAUUUAAGUAUAUGUGUUUUUCAAGAAAUAGAGAAUUUGGACAUAUUAGUUCUUCAAUGUUAUUCUAAAGGACGCCGGGACGCCACGUAUUUAGAUUAUGAUUGUUAUGAACUUGUAAUGUUCUUCUGCAUUUUUGUUCCGUUUGAGUAUACGCAUUAUGCAUUCUCUGAAGUAUAGAGGAUUAGGCGAGAUUAGUCAUUCGGUGUUGGAAUAAAAGGUUGCGGAACGCCACUAGGUUUAUGUUCUAAUGAUACCGUUGCCAUGGCAUUGGCACCUGAGACAAAAUAGGCUGAAGCGCAUUCAACUGAGCAAGGCGGGACGGUGAGCAUUAUGCAGCACUAAUUGCCUCGGCAACCCUCUAUGCUGGACUUCACUCCCUCAAAAACUCUUGUCGAGAACCAGUUCCUUUUCCGACUCUUUGAAGCGACCAACACCGUUGUGUUUUUCAUCUCCAUUUGAAUGAAGAAAACCCUGGUUCCUCGAUCGAGCUUUGCAUGAACCUGAUCCUCUUUUUACUGUGCGUUAUCUACAUGUUAGGUCUUGCAAUGGUGUUUUAUUGCACCUGAAGUUUAUGAAUGUGAUGUUGUAACUCUGUAGGAAUCAUGGUGACUUUGUUGUGUAACUGGUGUUUUCUGGCACCUGAAGUUGGUUGAGAGAAAAAGAGUUGAACAAAACUUGCAACCCUUGGGAAAGCUAAGGCUUUUCUUUUUGUUAGUUGAACCGUUCCCAGCAAAGUUAUUUCGUACGAACGAUGUUGUUGAGUAGUAGUUGGUAUUUUGAAGGCUCUAUUAUUCUUCAUGCAUGUUACUGUAGACGUACCAAUAAUUUUGAGGAGUAAAUUCUGGGGCCUCAAAUAUUAAGUAUAGUAGAACGCGCUUGUGUUAUAAAGUAUCUUUUCAGCAAGAGAAACUUGCAUACAUCGUGACGUAUGCAUGACAAGAACGAGAAAUAUAUACUGCUUCAAGGAAGUUCUUCGCCUUCUCAACUCAACUAGAUGCAGUGAAAGGCAAAACUCCUACAUCAAGAAAGGACCAAGCCUUAUGAGGACAUAUAAGGAGUUUGACUACUCCCAUAUUAUUAAUAGUACUAUAGCGGAACCUCAACUUCUUUCAUGUAUCUCAGAACAAGUUGGCCCAUGUGUGAAGCUCAACAACACACGUUCUCUACGUCCUCCAAUUUGUGAUGUCUACAUGUUAGAUUUGAACAUUUGUUACACAUGAGAGGGUGUGUGAGAAUAUAAAUAAAUAUCUUAUAUCAAAAGUUUACUAAAGCUUGCAUGUCCUUAUAGCUAGAGAGUUGGACUACUCUCAAUCACCAUAUUGCCAACUGAAUUUAUGGUAAAACCUCAAUUUCCCUCAUAGACAAAUUAUGUUAAAGCAUUUAGGCUUGCAGCUAUACCUUUGUAUUGAAUCUAGGGUUUCAAACACAUUCCAAUCACCAAUAACUAUUCUAAACAACUUUUUCAAGACCAUAAUGAUAUGAAAUUGAGAAUGAUUAGCAAAAGAGUUAGCAGCUGAGAGAGUAGUUGGUUUUGCAAUCAAAUAUCUACGAACUAUGUUGACUAAAUCAUUGACCCAUUUAUAUGAUAACAAUUAGUUUUGGUCACAUGCCCUGGUGGUAAGUUUUUCUAGGUUAGCAAAACUGCUGGGAGUGAAAAAGUUAAGUCUACAAGUUAUAUUCAUAGGUGUUUCUUAUAUUCUAUGGCUUCUAAUUAAAUUAUAACCAAGGAUGCAUGGUCACAGCCAUAAUCAUUAAUUUACUGGCACCAAAUUUGAAUUUUCAUCAUAUAUAGCGAUGUUGGUAUGGUAAUUGUCACAAGCAAAGUUUUAGGAAGAAAUGUCAUUCAAGAGAGUGGAAAUUUCUUCACAAAUAAUUGACCACCACAUGUCCCGUUUACUGGCAUGUGAAAUUGCUGCCAUAUUAAUUUGAUGUUUUCUCAUGGGUCAAACUAGAAAUUUUGCAAGGGUUUAUAAGAGGUUGAGUUAUUCUCUAUAUUGCCAAAUUGGUUUUAUGGUGAAACCCCAACUUUCUUCCUUGUACUAGAGCAGAUUGGCCCACGUGUAAAGCUCAAAGACCACACUUGUUCCACAUCACUCAAUAUGUGCUACCAAGCAUUUGGCUUGAAAAUGUUGCCACAUGCGAGGGAGCAUGUGAGGAUGUGAAGGUAAAAGAGCUUAUAAGAAGUUGGGCUACUCCCAACAUUACCAAUUGGUUUAGAACCCCAACUUUCCUUUGGGUAUCAAAGCAGGUUGGCCCACGUGUGAAUCCUAACGGCCACACUUGCUCCACAUCACCCAAUUCAUGUUGUUCACGUGUUUGGCUUGAAAACUUGCUAUACGUGAAAGGACUUGUGAAGAUUUAAAGGUAAAUGAGUCUCACAUUGGUGAAAGGAGAAACCUUGUAAGGAGUUAUAAGAGGUUGAACUACUCCUCAUAUUUCCAAUGAGUUUUAUUAUGGAACCCAACUUUCUUCAUGGAAUACCAGUGUUUUCAAAUAAGAACAAUUUAUCUGCAGCAGGUUAAUUUGAUCCCUUCCAACACUACUAGACCUUUAGCACACAAGGUUUGAAAAGAAAAAACUGUAAAAAUGAGGUUGAAGGUGAGCUAGAGAACAAACUUGAACAGCGUAUAUGCAAGUUUAAUUGAAGUUGUUUUAACUAUUAUACAUCUGAUAGAUUUGAUGCAAUCGAGCUCUAGCUUGUCUAGAAAAUCUGUCGUGUCAUCGGGUAUAUAGUGUGUAUUUAUCCUCAGUUGUAGAAGCAUGACUUGUCUACACUAGCUACUGAGGCAGAUUCUAAAUCAAUAACGCAUUGUAAUGAAUUUUUAACUUUCUAAUUGUACGCACUAAUGCAUUGAUGGUUUUGAAUAUCUUUAUAGUAACGGAUCGUGUAGGUAGUCUCUCUCCGAUUCGAGGACAUACUUUGAUGAGCCUAACCCAACUGACAAUUACACCAAACUUUUCUCAUUUCUAAGUUGACUUGGUUGUAGAUUAACCUAAAGCCAAAAUAAUACCGACCAAAUUUACGAAAUCUUGGUCGAAAGGCCACUUCAAUUGAUCACUAGAACAAGAAGCAGAAAUUUCAAACUUAGCUUUUAUUUUUCUUUUGCAUUGCCAACCAUACAAGGUAUUGCCAUAAACACAACUACAAUAUAGGCUUUGCUUUUGUACAAGUGGGCCUAAGAUUUUGCUCCAAUUGUCAAACACCCCUACCUCUACAUAACCCCCCUCUCAUCCAUUCAAAUUUCCUCACAAACACUGUGAUCUUUGUCCAAUCAUAAGAAAAGAUCUAGUCCAAACUCCUUUCUAUUUUCUUCGUUAGGUUACUCCCAAGAAGUCAAAAGCCAAUUCCAUGGCUGGCUCAUUGGCCAUUUUUGGUGUGGUCAUGGCGUUGGGAAUGUUGAGUUGUGGUGCUGAGGCUCGUGCCUUUUUUGUGUUUGGAGACUCACUGGUCGACGCUGGCAACAACAACUACUUAGCCACCAGUGCUCGUGCCGACUCUCCUCCUUACGGCAUUGACUAUCCCACCCGUCGACCCACCGGUCGUUUCUCCAAUGGCCUCACCAUUCCUGACUAUAUCAGUUAGGUUUUCUUCCAUUCUCUUUUUCUUUCCGAUUUUUCGGGUUAUUUUCUCGUUAUUCACAUGUACUGAAUUGACCUAAUAUGUGUGUGCGUAUGUGUAUAUAGGUCAGAAGCUUGGUGCAGAACCUACAUUGCCAUACUUGAGUCCACAACUCACAGGGCAAAAGCUACUAGUUGGUGCAAACUUUGCCUCUGCUGGCAUUGGAAUUCUUAAUGACACUGGGGUUCAGUUUGUAAGUUUUCUUUUAAAACAAAUAGAGGAUCAUGCGAGAGAUUAGCUCUUUAGUGCCCGUCAUGAGCACAAAAGUGCUACAUGCUAGUAAAUUAAUUACCUUGGUAAAGUUGUCAACCAACAAAUUUUUUUUGAACUAGUAAUGGAUGGAUAUGUGUGAAAUUUUCAGGCAAAUAUAAUCAGAAUGCCAGCGCAAUUGCUAAACUUCCAACAAUACCAGCGAAGGUUGUCUGCCCAAAUCGGACCUCAACGGACCAAACAGCUCGUAAAUCAAGCACUCGUCCUCCUCACCGUCGGCGGCAACGAUUUUGUGAACAACUACUACCUAGUGCCUUUCUCCGCAAGAUCUCGCCAGUUUGCUCUGCCAGACUAUGUCAGAUACCUCAUUUCCGAGCUCCGAAAAAUUCUCUUGGUAACCAACUCCUAAUUUGGCUAAGUUCGGAAAUAACUUGCUAGCUAAGCGACAAUGUCACAUGUUAAUGACUUAUAAUUAUGUGUAGUUUGAUCAUUCUUUGUGUCAUAACUUUACAGAAAAUGUAUGAUCUUGGAGCACGAAGGGUUUUGGUGACAGGGACAGGACCGAUGGGCUGCGCACCUGCUGAAUUGGCCAUGAGAAGCAGGAAUGGAGAAUGCGCAGCGGAGCUGCAACGAGCAUCGGCUCUGUACAACCCGCAACUCAUUCAGAUGCUGAGAUCAGUCAACAGCCAACUCGGUUCUGAUGUCUUUGUUGCUGCCAACGUACAGGAGACCCGCAAUGACUUCAUCAGGAACCCUCAAGCAUUUGGUAAAUUAAUUAUACAAUAUACGUUUAUAUCAAUUUUAUGUUCAUGACCUAAUAUUAUGAUCAUGGAUUAAGUUUUGUUCGAAAGAUUAACCUAUUCAAGAAUCUCCUAAUCUACGCUUAUUUUCAACCCCGCCAAUCAUUUUGUCUCUUACUAUGCAUUUUUUGUGUGUUGGUGACAUAAAGUUGCUUGUUUAAUUUUUGUUAUCCAGGAUUUACUACAUCAAAGGUUGCAUGCUGUGGGCAAGGACCUUACAAUGGCUUGGGGCUGUGCACAAGAGCUUCCAAUUUGUGCCCGAACCGCGACCUAUACGCUUUCUGGGAUGCAUUUCAUCCGUCCGAAAAGGGGAACAGACUGAUCGUUGAGAAUAUUAUGACAGGGGAUGAAAAGUACAUGUACCCUAUGAAUCUCAGCACCAUCUUGGCUUUGGAUUCCAGGACCUAAGACAUAUUUCCAUGUGAAACUAAUAUUUAUGUGUACUAUUUCCAUUUGAAACUAUAUUUAUGUGUACUAGAUUAUGAUCUGUGUUGAAUGCCAGUACUAUCUGCCAUUUAUGUUUGUGCGUCGCUGGGAUGUCUAGUGAUUAAAAACUCAUUGGCUUCCCAAUUGCUUUCUAGUUUUUGUAAUGGUUUGAUUUGCAAGAUUUCCCCCAAGGUGAUAAUGUAAAACUUACCAACUUAAGUACAAUCAUCUUUAAUUUACACUCAGUCGUUUUGUUCACUGCUUGUGGAAUUUAUUAUCACUUGCUUAAUCUAUCAGGUGUGGAGUUUUAUUACAAAAUGUCUUGUUAUUAGAUAGUGGGUAAUCAAAUUUAUAUUCUUCUUGGUAUAAUCCAAGUGGUAGUGUGGGUAAUCAAACUUAUAUUCUUCUUGGUAUAAUCCAAGUGGUAGUACGAACCUACCUGCCAUUGGCUCUAAUACCAUAUGAAAUUUUCAGAGAGACAGGCCGAGGACCCUGCGUCCAAUGAUAUUGUUCCCAAUUUGAUAAUUAUCACUCGUUCAAUAUAAUUUAGAGUAAUAGUUAAAGUAGAGUAAUCAUAUGUAAACUUUAUUUCUUCUUCCCUCUGGCUGAUGUGGGAUAGCCAACAUUGCUUGAUCAAAUUUGCUGAUGUUGGUUUAUUUGUAGCUAUUGAACAUAACCUUUUGCCGCAACCAUUUCUUCGUGUUACAUGGGUGCGUGAUUUGUCUAAUCUCUUCCUAAACUAUUCAAAAGUUCCUUUUUUGUAACCAAAAGGAGUUAAUAGUAGUUAUUUAUGCGCUAGAAGUUUAGUGUUUGAUCUCCCUUCUCCAAUAUUGCUUAUACCAAUGGCUUCCGGAAACCUGGAUUACGCUGGCAGGCCUAGACCAUAGAGACAAAUCGAAACUAGACCUUACUAAGAUGUAAAAAAUUCGAAGGACACCUAGGUUCAAGCCAAAAAUAUUGGGAGCAUGAAUUUUUAAAAUUUUUGGUAACAUGAGACGAAGAUUUUAAUAAGAAUCCAAUGAGUAUUGUCCAAUAUGUAAAUUUACUCAAGCCAAAAAAAAAAAAAAAGGGCUGAAAAUAGAGAAAAAAAGGGUCACAAUGCGUGCUGGCUCAUGAUUGUAAGGGUAUUUGAAUGCAUGCUAAGCUAGUAAGCUUCAUACAAAUAAGUGUGGGAAUUUUGUGUUGAAUUGAAACCAGUGCUGGUAAUUUGGUAUUGAAAUAAUGCAAGCUUACGAAGAAAGUUGGAGUUUCACCGUAAAUUUAAUUGGCAAUAUGAGAGUAGUUCAAUCUCUCAUAAGCACAUGCAAGAUCCCUCAUUUCCCCAAUGUGUGAUUUACUCUCAACAAGCUCCCUCAUAUGUGGCGGAUUUUCAAGCCUAACAUGUGGAUAACAAAAAUCGAGUGACGUGGAGCAUAUGUUACCGUUAGGCUUCACAUAGGAUAACCUGCUCUGAUACCAAUUGACAAUAUAUAAAGUAGCCUAAUCUUUUAUAAACACAUGCAAACUUCUCCAAUGAGAUUCGCUCAACAACAGCGUUACGUAAAAACAACUUUUGAUGUGGGCACAAGUUUUAAAUAUACCAAAUGUUGUAUAACAGAAACAACUCUUGAAUUAUCUUUGUGUGUAGUGACCAUGGUUGUCCCAAAAUCUUUCAAGAAAAACAAAACAAAACAAACAAAACUGUAAAUGAAUUGAUAGAAAAACAGUCUCUUUGGAAACAAAGUAAGAGUAAUUAGUAUGCAAUCAAUAGACAUUCCCUCCUCGAUUGUUGUAAAGUAGGGAGCCUUGUUGGCUUGAGUUUUCCCUCACUGCAUGCAUCUCCUUUGCAUUGGAAACGCAUACAACAGAGCAAUCCUCUACCAAUUCAUUAGCAAUAUAUUGUUCUUUUCUCUCAGGAUUACUAGAAAGCCUUUAACUUCUGCAAAUAGGGAAUGCUCUAUCGUCGGCGUCUCCGCUGCAAAAGAGAUGGAUUCAGUGAGGAAGAUAAAAAAAAUCAAAGAAAAAAUGACACAGUUAUGUCAUAUUAGUGCAUGACAUUGAUAAGAAAACUUAAAAUAGGAAUAAGAAGCCGAUUCAAUCGGCGUUAUAAUUCUUAAUUACAAAGAAGGGAGUGGAUUCGACAAAGCAGAAGGAAUAGUACUGGAUCUCCGGUGCAAAGGGAAGGGGAAGGGGAGGAUCGAAAUUGUUCUCCACAAUUGCCAAUCUUUCUUAAGCCAGUCUCUUUUCCAACCUAAGAUGUCCACAAUUGCCAAUCUUUCUCAGGUGCGGUUUAUUUUUUCUUGAGUUAUUUAUAGGCAUAUGGCUUUUGAAUAGUAUCAUUAAAUUUCUUAAUGAUAUUUUUCCAUCCAAAUUUACCAACAUGACCAAUUUUUCGAUUUCCGGAUAAUGUUUCAUCUACACAAGUCCUUAUAAAUGCCUCAACAGUUGCAUUAUCCCAUAUUGCCUUACUCUUCUUUUCGUUAUCAUCCCCGUGUUCAAAUUCUGUGAACCUAUUUUGUGUGGUCUCUGUGUAACAUUUUAUUAUUGAUUGAUACAUAUUAAGUUUAUGACAACAGAGUUAAGAAGUAAGUUUACAGAUAUAUGUCAAUCAAUAAUAAAAAUCACAGAAAACCCACACACUAAAUAAGUGUAGAAAAUUUGAAUUCAUUAUCCCCAUAUGCAUCUUGUGAAUCCUUAACUAUAUUCUUAGAUAUUUAUAUCCCGAGUAAGAGAAAGAGAAAAAAAAAGCAUAGAACAUAAUAACAACAUACAACACUGCAUUAUGAAUUAAUUAUGUCCUCGUUUACUAGGCAUAGACCCAAAAUUACAAGCUUAAAAUUUCAAAAUAGGAGCAGUCAUAGAAAGCUAGCAGACACAGAACAAAUGAGAAGUAUUUUUAGGCCUUAUGACACGGUGACACCUCAUCUGUCAAUCAUAAGUCUCAAUUACUAACGUGGGUUUAGAGUUUUCAAGUCAAAUUCAAUCAAUGCAUGAAGUCUGGACCACUCCAUUUACCAGUUACGGGCAAUAGACAUUUGAAAUAAAACUGGCAUUUACAAAAUAGUUAAAUUCAAAUGUAUGUGCAUGAAGAUGGAGAGAGGCUUGGGAAAGAUGCCGCCCAAGAGGUGACUGCUUCAGUCUUCAGCACGAUAUGAAAACCUCGUGGGUUUUUUUUAUGUAGCAGCGUUAAAUCUAGAAAAAAUUGGUAAAUAGUACAAUUUUGAUAUUUUCUUAAAGUCUAAAGGCAUUUUACACUGUCUAAAUUAAAAAUAGGAAUAGUUUAGAAAGGUUUUUUUACCCUACAUUAAAAUGUUGAUAUUUUCUUAAAGUCUAAAGGCAUUUUAGACUGUCUAUAUUAGCAUCCCAUAAAAUGUUGAAUGCACCCCACAUUAAAAAUUAAUAUUAAAUGACUUAUUUACCCUACUAUAUAUGCAAUGACAAUUUUGACCUUAUUAGGUUUUAAAAAAAAUUAUAAAUACACCUCAAAUCAUAUUUAGCGUAUUAUUUAUCUUCUCAACUAUCAAAACACUUCCACCCUCCAUUGUUGAACAAAAUUCUAACCAAUGAAACUACAAACAUGUUGAUUGAGAAAAAUUGCUUUUGACGAAUGGUCUGUUGAAGACUCUCUGAGUCGAUCCCGACUUGAAGAAGAAGAAAAAAAACAAGGGCUGUUAAAGACACUCUGAGUCAACUCCAACUUGAAGAAGAAAAAAAGGUUGUUGAAGACUCUCCGACUUUCGUCUACAAGUAUAAUUGCAUUUUUUGUGGGACUCAGAAAUGCGGCCAUGAUUAUAAUGUUUGUCCAGUCUGCUGUAAUGGUCGCCACCCUCGUGGACUUUGCCCAUACAGGAGGUUUGUCCCGAAAAAGUUUCAUUGAAGGGAGUCAAAUACUUCCCGUGUUUUCACCUGGCAGCACAUUUAGGAGGAGGUGUUUCUUUAAACCCCACUCCAAGUGCUUCUAUUUAACUAAAAACACAAGUACAUUUUUGGCCAAACAACCGUUUCCAAAAUGAAAGCGUUUUUAUAACUCAUUUGUAAGUGUUUUUAAACUGACUGAAACCAUUUUUAGAGAAAAUGAUUUUGUGUCUAAAAGCACUUCAAGUACUUUUACAAGAUUCACUUGCAUUUUUACCAAAGAUUGACUCUAAAAACGUUUUUACGAAAAUCGCUUUCAGCCAGCUAAAAAACAUUUAAAAAAAAAAUUGUAGUCAUUAAAAAGCACUUAUAAGUUUUAACCAUCCAAAAGCACAUGCCAGCAAACCCUACAUUUUUAACCCCUAUAGAUUGACCAACUAGGGUAACUUCCCAUCCUUUGGAAAAGGAUGGGAUCCCGUGAUCUGACCGUUUAUCGUAUAUCAUGCGAUCAGAAAUCAUUUAAAAUUUAAAAUUAAAUAUAAAUAGUACUUAACUAAAACUGACUGCACGAUAUACGAUGAACGAUCAUAAUCACGAGAUUCCCAGAAUCUCCAGGAAAAUGAUCCUUUUGUCAUCCCAAUUGCCGCUUCACCCUUUUCACCCUCCCACAUCGCUUCUUUCUCCUCACGGUCCCCGCAGUUUACUCUUGAGGUAAUAAAAUAAUGGAGUAAUUAGGUUUUCAUCCUUAUUUUUACUACUCUAUUGAUUAAAACCUUAUUACUUUUCAAUUUUUGAUCAAGGUCCUUUGUAUUAAUAAUAUCAUUAAUUAUUUCAAUAAUAAAAUAUUUUUUAUUUCUAAAUAUAUUCAUUUAAUAUUAAAAAUGUUACAAUUAGUAUAUUUAUAUUUAUGGCUAAAUUUUUUAUCAUAUAUUUUUAUUUUUAGUUUGUACCCAUUUUUAAUUUGCAACCCUUUUUUAAUUUGUACCAAUUUUCCUUUCAAUUUUAAUUUGUACCCAUAUAUUAAUUUCUUUUUGUGCCCAUAUCUUUUAAAGUUUUAUUUGUAUUGUACCCAUAUUUUUUUAUUUAUUUGUACCCAUUUUUAUUUUUGCUAAAUGUACCCAUUUUGAAGAAUGUACCUAUGUUUUGAUACAAUAAUUUUUUGGUUAUUUUUUUAUGAAUGUACCCAUGUUUACACACACACACACACAAUGGUAUAUUUAUAUUUUAAUAUUUUUAAUCCCACAAAUUAUGGUUUUUUAUUUAAAAUCUCACUACUAUAAACAACUAUAAAUUUUAAUUUUUAAUUUAAAAAAUAUAGUAACGUACAUAGAAAUAAAUUAUCAAUUAAUUUUAGGGACUUGAAUCAAAAAUUGAAAAACAACAAGGUUUCAGUCAAAGAUUGUUCAUAACUAGGGACCGCAUCUAAAGUCUCCCUAAAAUAAUUAUCCAUUUUAUUUUAUUAUUUAUCCUCUUUCAACUCUUGUCGCACAAACCGCAGCACUAGAAGCAGCUCGUUAAUAAAAAGUAAAUUUAAAUAAUUAAAUAAACACUAGUAGAAAAAGAAGCCCCGACCUUCUCUACUUUCUAGUUUCUAGAACCUUCUUUUGUUCGUGUGUUCUUUCCAGACCGUUAAACCCUAACCCUAGAGAUAUUUUAGGUUUCAGAUCUAGGGUUUUUGAGGUUUGGUGGUGACUGGAGCUUGGAUUUUAGUUUCAUUUUUUCACUAAUCCUUCUUCUUUUCUUUCUUUUUUUUUGUCAAUGAACUGCCAUUAACGAUUUUAUCCUGUUCUGUUUCAGAUUCUUGACUUUUUUGGAUGAACAUGGCAAAGAGGUCAUUUUUCUUCAAAUUUAAAUUUUCUUUUUUAUUUUGUUUUAUCAUUGAAUGUUUUUGUUUUAGUAUAUGAUUGUUUUGAACUUGUGAUGUUACUCUGCAUUUUUUUUGCCAUUUAAGUCAAUGUGUUCUUUGAAAAAAAAUAGUGGAUUAGGCGAGAUUAGUUUUCCAGUGUUAGUCUAAAAGACGUUGGAACUUCACGUAUUAGAUUAUGACCUAGUUUGGGAGUGAGGUGCUUAAAAAAAAAGCACCGAUGAAAAAAAGUUGUGAGGGUUUUAGGUGUUUGGUAAACUGAAAAAAAAAUGGCUUAUUUUGGAAGCUGCUGUGAGAAUAAGCUGAAAUCAAAGGAAAAAGCUGAAGCUGCUAUUUGCAGCUUUGGAAAAAUGGCUUUUUUUCAAAGCACAUGGAGCUACAGUGCUUCUUUAAUGAAAAGACCCACUAUUUGACUGCUUUUUUUCCAAAAGCACUUUUAUAAAAAAGUUUACCAAACACUCUGCUGAUUUAUUUCACAGCCGCUUAUUCUCACAGCACAGCCGCUUAUUUUCACAACAGCUUUUUUUCAAAGCACAGCAAUACCAAACCAGCCCUAUGAUUGUCGUAAACUAGUGAUGCUACUCUUUUUUUUUUUUUUGGUCCCUUUGAGUAUAUGCGUUCUUCGAAAAUAGAAGAUUAGGAAGGAUUAGUUCUUCAGUGUUAGUCUAAAGGACGCCGGAGCGCCACGUUUUAAUUAUACGUGUUGUGAAACUUGAGAUGCUACUUUGCAUGUCAUUUAAGUAUAUGCAUUGUUUGAAAAAUAGAGGAUUAGGCGAGAUUAGUUGUUAGAGUUAGAAAUAAAUGCUAUUGGCCUUUAACUUCUGCUUUGGUUGGCUUUGGGUCGCAGGGGCAGAAGGCUGACCGGCAAACCAGGGUAUGUUCUUUGCCAGGUUUAGAUGCAACUGGUUUUAUUUUUGAAUGCUAUUGAUUUAGAUUAUGAGUGUUGUGAACUCGCGAUGUUCCUCUGGUUUUUUUGCCAACGAAGUAUGUAUUGUUCGAAAAAGUUUACGAUUUGCAUGUUUGUGUUCUUGUUUUCCCAAAGUAAAUGAGGAUUUGGUGAGGUUAGUUCUUUUGUGUUAGUCCAAAAGAAUCCGGAACACACCACAGUUUUAUAAUCUCAUUUAACUUGUGAUGUUCCUCUGUUAUAGCAUAUAUUUGAUGAGAUUAUGUUUUUAAGUAAAUUUUAUGUUCUUUACUAGGCUGUUUGGAUGAAAUUUGAUUACAUUUUCCGUUCGAUCUGCAACUGAUUUUCCUAUGCCUAUUGCAGCAAUGAUACCAACCCCAUGGCGCUAGAGGCAGAGGAGAAUGCAAGUCUGCAGCGCGAGAUGAAGUUGUUUAUGGCUAUACACUAAUUGCCAUGGCAACCUUCUAUGCUGGACUUUACCCUUCACACGCUCUUGUUAAGAACCAGUUCCUUUUCCAACUCUUUGAAGUCUUCAACGCCGCAGGGUUUUUCAUCUCCAUUUGGAUAAUGAAAAUCCUCAGCAGGGGUUCCCCAAUCGAGUUUACAUUGAAGCCGCUCCUCUCUUUACUGUGCCUUUUUUACAAACUAGGCGUUGCGAAUAUGUUUUCUUGCCCCAGCUGCACCUGCAGGUUAUGAAUGUGAUGAUGUAAUUCGGUCGGAAACAUGGUAACUCUGUUGUCUAACUGGUGUUUUCGGUCACCCGAAGUUUAUGAAUGUGAUGUAAUUGUGUAGAAACGUGGUACCUUGUUGUGUAACUGGUGUUUUCAAACACCCGAAGUUUAUGAUGUUAAUUAACUGGUGUUUUUGGGCACCUGAAGUUUAUGUAGUGGAUUUGCAAGAUUUGUGACUACUUGUUUAACUGCUGUAUUUGAAUACAGUUUCAUCAAUAGCGCAGAUGUGAUUUAGUUCCUUUCGUGAAUGAAAAGUUUUGAUGUAACAGGUUUGAUAGGGGGGAUGCACAUAUAUCCCUCCAUUUACGAAUAACAUAUCUUGAUCAUAUAAAUUAAAUGAUUGGGAAACAUAUUAGAUAAAUGAACGGUUUAUUAUGAAUAUGUUACUUGGUACUUACACCGUUGAUUUAUUUUAUACAUUUGAAUGACUAAGUUGUGAACUUGUGAUGCUACUCUUCUCUUUUUGUUUUUACCAUUUAAGUAUAUGUGUUUUUCAAGAAAUAGAGAAUUUGGACAGAUUAGUUCUUCAAUGUUAUUCUAAAGGACGCCGGAAUGCCACAUAUUUAGAUUAUGAUUGUUGUGAACUUGUGAUGUUCUACUGCAUUUUUGUUCCAUUUGAGUAUACGCAUUAUGCAUUCUCUGAAGUAUAGAGGAUUAGGCGAGAUUAGUUCUUCGGUGUUGGAAUAAAAGGUCGCGGAACGCCACUAGGUUUAUAUUCUUAUGAUACCGUUGCCAUGGCAUUGGCAUCUGAGACAAAAUAGGCGGAAGCGCAUUCAACUGAGCAAGUCGGGACGGUGAGCAUUAUGCAGCACUAAUUGCCUCGGCAACCCUCUAUGCUGCACUUCACUCCUUCAAAAACUCUUGUCGAGAACCAGUUCCUUUUCCGACUCUUUGAAGCGACCAACACCGUUGUGUUUUUCAUCUCCAUCUGAUGAAGAAAACCCUCAAUAAGGGUUUCUCGAUCGAGCUUUGCAUGAACCUGAUCCUCUUUUUAGUGUGCGUUAUCUACAUGUUAGGUCUUGCAAUGGUGUUUUAUUGCACCUGAAGUUUAUGAAUGUGAUGUUGUAACUCUGUAGGAAGCAUGGUGACUUUGUUGUGUAACUGGUGUUUUCUGGCACCUGAAGUUGGUUGAGAGAAAAAGAGUUGAAUAAAACUUGCAACCCUCGGGAAAGCUAGGGCUUUUCUUUUUGUUAGUUGAACCGUUCCCAGCAAAGUUAUUUCGUACGAAGAUGUUGUGUAGUAGUUGGUAUUAUGAAGGCUCCCUCAGCUCUAUUAUUACUUCAUGCAUGUUACUCUAGACGUACUAAUAAUUUUGAGGAGUAAAUUCUGGGGCCCCAAAUGCAAUUCUAUUAAGUAGUAGAACGCGCUUGCGUUAUAAAGUAUCUUUUCACCAAGAGAAACUUGCAUACAUCGUGACAUAUGCAUGACAAGAUCGAGAAAUAUACAUUGCUUCAUGCAAGUUCUUCGCCUUCUCAACUCAACUAGAUGCAGUGAAAGGCCAAACUCCUACAUCAAGAAAGGACCAAGCCUUUUGAGGACAUAUAAGGAGUUUGACUACUCCCAUAUUAUUAAUAGUAUUAUAGUGGAACCUCAACUUCUUUCAUGUAUCUCAGAACAAGUUGGUCCAUGUGUGAAGCUCAACAACACAUGUGAUCUACGUCCUUCAAUUUGUGAUGUUUACAUGUUAGAUUUGAACACUCGUUAUACGUGAGAGGGUGUGUGGCAAUAUGAAUAAAUAUCUUAUAUAAGAAGUUUACUAAAGCUUGUAUGUCCUUAUAGCUAGAGAGUUGGACUACUCUCAAUCCCCAUAUUGCGAACUGAUUUUAUGGUAAAACCUCAAUUUCAUUCGUAGACAAAUUUGUUAAGGCACAUUUGAAUUAUCAUUAUAUAUAGCGAUGUUGGUAUGGUAAUUGUCACAAGCAAAGUUUUAAGAAGAAAUGUCAUUCAAGAGCGUGGAAAUUUCUUCACAAAUAAUUGACCACCACCUGUCCCGUUUACUUGCAUGUGAAAUUGCUGUCAUAUUAAUUUGAUGUUUUCUCAUCGGUCAAACUAGAAAUUUUGCAAGGGUUUAUAAGAGGUUGAGUUAUUCUUCAUAUUGCCAAUUGAUUUUAUGAUGAAACCCCAACUUUCUUCCUAGUACUAGAGUAGGUUGGCCCACGUGUAAAGCCCAAAGACCACACUUGCUCCACGUCACUCAAUUUGUGUUGCCAAGCAUUUGGCUUGAAAAUGUUGCCACAUGCGAGGGAGCAUGUGAGGAUGCGGAGGUAAAAAAGUCUUACAUCGAUAAAGGGAGAAACCUUGCAAGGGUUUACUAGAAGUUGAGCUACUCCCAACGUUGCCAAUUGGUUUAAGGUGAAACCCUAUCUUUCCUUCGGGUAUCAGAGCAGGUUGGUCCACGUGUGAAGCCUAACGGUCACACUUGCUCCACAUCACCCAAUUCCUGUUGUUCAUGUGUUUGGCUUGAAAAUUUGUUACACGUGAGAGGACGUGUGAGGAUUUAAAGGUAAAAGAGUCUCACAUUGGUGAAAGGAGAAACCUUGUAAGGAGUUAUAAGAGGUUGAACUACUCCUCAUAUUUCCAAUGAGUUUUAUUAUGGAACCCAACUUUCUUCAUGGAAUACGAGUGUUUUCAAAUAAGAACAAUUUCUCUGCAGCAGGUUAAUUUGAUCCCUUCCAACACUACUAGACCUUUAGCACACAAGGUUUGAAAAGCAAAAACUGUAAAAAUGAGGUUGAAGGUGAGCUAGAGAACAAACUUGAACAGCGUAUAUGCAAGUUUAAUUGAAGUUGUUUUAACUAUUAUACAUCUGAUAGAUUUGAUGCAAGCGUGCUCUAGCUUGUCUAGAAAAUCUGUUGUGUCAUUGGGUAUAUGGUCGUGUCGAAAACACUCGUCAGGCUAUGGACAUAAUAGUGUGUAUUUAUCCUUAGUUGUAGGAGCAUGACUUUUCUACACUAGCUACUGUGCAAGAUUCUAAAUCAAUAACGCAUUGUAGUGAAUUUUUAACUUUCUAUAUGUACGCACCAAUGCAUUGAUGGUUUUGAAUAUCUUUAUAGUAACGGAUCGUGCAGGUAGUCUCUCUCGGAUUCGAGUACAUACUUUGAUGAGCCUGACCCAACUGACAAUUACACCAAAUUUUUCUCAUUUCUGAGUUGACUUGGUAGUAGAUUAACCUAAAGCCAAAAUAAUACUGACCAAAUUUAUGAAAUCUUGGUCGAAAAGCCACUUCAAUUGAUCACUAGAACAGGAAGCAGAAAUUUCAAACUUAGCUUUUAUUUUUCUUUUGCAUUGCCAACCAUACAAGGUAUUGCCAUAAAAACAAACUACAAUAUAGCUUUGCUUUUGUACAAGUGGGCCUAAGAUUUUGCUCCAAUUGUCAAACACCCCUACCUCUAUAUAACCUCCCUCUCAUCUAUUCAAAUUUCCUCACAAACACUGUGAUCUUUGUCCAAUCAUAAGAAAAGAUCUAGUCCAAACUCCUUUCUAUUUUCUUCGUCAGGUUACUCCCAAGAAGUCAAAAGCCAAUUCCAUGGCUAGCUCAUUGGCCAUUUUUUGUGUGGUCAUGGCGUUGGGAAUGUUGAGUUGUGGUGCUGAGGCUCGUGCCUUUUUUGUGUUUGGAGACUCACUGGUCGACGCUGGCAACAACAACUACUUAGCCACCAGUGCUCGUGCCGACUCUCCUCCCUACGGCAUUGACUAUCCCACCCGUCGACCCACCGGUCGUUUCUCCAAUGGCCUCACCAUUCCUGACUAUAUCAGUUAGGUUUUCUUCCAUUCUCUUUUUCUUUACGAUUUUUCGAGUUAUUUUCUUGUUAUUCACAUGUACUGAAUUGACCUAAUAUGUUUGUGCGUGUGUGUAUAUAGGUCAGAAGCUUGGUGCAGAACCUACAUUGCCAUACUUGAGUCCACAGCUCACAGGGCAAAAGCUACUAGUUGGUGCAAACUUUGCCUCUGCUGGCAUUGGAAUUCUUAAUGACACUGGGGUUCAAUUUGUAAGUUUUCUUUUAAACCAAAUAGAGGAUCAUGCGAGAGAUUAGCUCUUUAGUGCCCGUCAUGGGCACAAAAGUGCUACAUGCUAGUAAAUUAAUUACCUUGGUAAAGUUGUCAACCAACAAUUUUUUUUUUGAACUAGUAAUGGAUGGAUAUGUGUGAAAUUUUCAGGCAAAUAUAAUCAGAAUGCCAGCGCAAUUGCUAAACUUCCAACAAUACCAGCGAAGGUUGUCUGCCCAAAUCGGACCUCAACGGACCAAACAGCUUGUAAAUCAAGCACUCGUCCUCCUCACCGUCGGCGGCAACGAUUUUGUGAACAACUACUACCUAGUGCCUUUCUCCGCAAGAUCUCGCCAGUUUGCUCUGCCAGACUAUGUCAGAUACCUCAUUUCUGAGCUCCGAAAAAUUCU